CUUUAUGACCCUAAGAACGCAUCGAUCUUAGUAUUUGUUCCCCUUGACAAAAACUUCAUGCAAAUGGGAGGUUUUAUUCCUGCCAGAGCAAGUAUCGAACUAGGCAAAGUCCAUAUUCCAUCCCCGCAAAUCAAACCAGAAGCCACUGCUGGCCCAAAAGCAUCAGCCUUUGCCUUGUCAAUCUUUUCCCAGACAAAUAGAAUCAAGCUUCCCACACACGCGUCGAUGGCAAAGUAUGAGCCAACAUAGAAAGGUAUAGCCAUUGCCAUUGGAUUGGGAAUGAACCUGGCCCAUUUCUUACCCAACACAUCCUUGAUCAAAUUUAUCAGAAUAGCAGCACCGAAGAACCCAUAACAAAGAUAGAGGCAAUUCUAUGGCAGAGACGAGAAUCCUUCUACCCCCAAUAUUGCCAUGUUUCGAAAUACAGUAGCAUAAGGAGCAGGGUAUUGACUUCCAGGAGUCCCAAGAUCCUUGAAAGCCUUGAAAAACAGCCAAAAGACACAAGGUGAAAUAAUGCAACCCAUUGCAGUGCCAAUUAGUUGGCUCACAAACAUGGACCGUGGGGAAGAAAGGGUUAGAUAACCAGUCUUGAAAUCUUGAGAGAGGUCGGAGGCUGUGGAGACGAUAUUCAUCAUGACUCCACAGGCUGCUAGUCCUGCAAGAACUCCACCAUGAGAGGCACCAGCCCAUGCUCCAAUUGCAAAAAUUGCAAGCGUCCCAUAGGAGUAAGCAAGGGACCAAUCAGUGAGGCCACAGCCAUAAGCAUUACUGAAUGCAAGGGCUGGGGCAAAGAUGUAGAUAACCAAUAUGUAAUACCAUUUUAGUUCGGGAAAUAUACGCGGAACGGUGGCUGUGGAGAUGGCAGCAAUUGCGACAUAGCCUGCAACAGCAAACCAUGUUGGAAUUUGAUCUAUGAGAAAGAGUUGGGUGCGACGUUGCUCAUCAUAGGAGAUCCUAGAUGUCUUGGGAGAGGAACGGUCAGCAAUAGGCAGAGCACCAGUUGCAUCUCUCCCACGAAGUUGAAAAAACAAUGCAGCGAGUGUUCUGCUUAGAACCUUGAAGUUGUAUAGACCGUCACCCAAGAUCAAGGCAGUGGCAAUAAAUACCUGUGUUCAGUGCAUAAGCAUUGGUAUGAAAGAAAAGGCUUCAAGAAAAUGUUAAAAAUCAUGUAAUUGGCAUUCUUGUCACCUUAACCUUGUUAGAAAACUUACCUUGUAACCUUGGAGACCAUGUAAGCUGCCUGGUUUGAGGUCUGCUGGAUACCAGUCACCCCUUUUUGUAUCUAUGAGAGGCCACAUGAGACCCCAGGAAAGAAUUCCUCCUAGAAAAACUGAUAUGUUUAUGAUGUAGGGGCAAAUCAUUCCAACUCCAACAUAUGUUGCUGAGAAAUCAAAGAAAAAUCUGUACAUGUAACAAGAACAUUAUUAGUCAAAGAUACCACAACGAAUUUGAAACAGAAUGCCAUAAUAAAUGGAACUACAUUCAACAAGAAGAGAGGAUUUUGGAAGGUUGAGAAAUGCUUUUACUUUUUUCAUGUGCUUUAAGACCAAGUGAGGGGAACUCAGCUAAUCCACAACCAUCUCCUGCAGUGUAGAACCAUUGAAAGAAACCCCACAAGAAGCUGAAUGAGAAGAACUUGCCCAACACUCUCACUUGUUUCCUGUAGCAGUAGAAUAACAAAGUUCAAUACUCUUACAUGUCAAAUGAUCAUCCAACUAUAAGUGCAUGAGGUCUGAUAAUGCCUUACUUUGCUAGCUUGGCUCCUGCAGGAGUGUGGAAGCUGUUGAUGAGAUGAGCAGUUGCAGUGCCACUUGGAUAUGUCAAUUUGAAGUCUAUAAUCAUGACCUGGAAAUAACAAGGGAAACAAUGAGGAUUAAUUUUUGGAAAAUCUAUACAUUCGGCAAAAAUGUAAAAUGCAGAGAGAAGUUCUCUAUUUCCUAUACGAAAUUGAAUGGCGAUGUAGGUUGUAAAGUCUACCUUUCAAAGAGGCACCGCCGAAAAGAGCCCAAGAAAGCUAACAACAAACAAGAAGCCAAUCAUCCAAGACAGAGAUGGAUUUUUAAAGGCAUCACCAUCUUCAGUUAAUUGUUUGGCCACGGUUUCACUCAUUCCAAACAGAUAACUCCCAAAGCCUCCUAUUAUAAGGAAACAAGGAAAAAAUUAUAGAAUGGAAACCAUUAGUACAAAAAUCAACAAGUUUAAUAUCAUCAUAAGCAUAAUCACAAAUUAACCGUUUCAUUACAAUAAUUAAUUCAGUUUCGAAACAAGUUUGGCAAGUAUUCAGGCUUUUCUUGACUAUUUGGAUAAGUUAGAAAUAUAAUGUAUUCAUCUUGACAUUAUGUUAAUGAUUCACAGUUAAAGAAAAGGUUUGAUUAAUAACUCAAGCUCACAACUAGCAUUCUAGAAACAGAUAUUAUUCACAUUUUCCUUUCUUUUACUAAUGGAGAAGACUUCUUUUUCCACAAAUCAGAAUAUUGUUAUAAGACUUCCUGACAUAAAUCUGAACUUAGUAAGUCAUCCAUAUCCAGCGCAUAUGAAUUGAAUUGUCAAAAAAGUAUCUGUCAAGUGACAUACCAGCUGCACCCCUAACAUUAUCACACUCCAGGAGACAGAGAUAGAUUUGUUCAUGUCUCUAAUGGUAAGUUCAAGUGUUGAUUAGUUUAGUAAAACUUCACAAGUGGUAGUCAUAAAGCCUCAAUUUUGAUUUGUCUCUCAAAGACUUUAGGCAGUAAGAGAUUCUUUGUCUUCAAGGAUCAUGCAAAUCUACUCACAUCUGAGAUAAAAGGGAUCCAGAGAGAGAAAAAUGGUUGCCUUAUCAUGUAAUCUAGCAAUUAGAAGAUGGAAAUCUUGACAUUGAAUUUUAGUAACUACUGUAAGUUUGCAAUCUUUAAGAACAGAAACAAAACCAAAUGCACAGAAAUAUUAAUAUCUUGAUAAAAGAAACCUAGAUAUCUCCUCAACUUCGAAAGAAAACAGAAAAAAAAAUUGAAUUUCAAAAUAAUUAAGAGAGAUGAAAUGAAAAUUAAUGGCAGUAAACAGUACGGAAAGUAUACCACUAAAGGCAAUGCCAGAGGAGGCAACCACGCAAGUCUGUAUUACAGUGUUCUCUUGCCUCGUAAAGGGUUGCUUCACAAGGCCAGACUUUUCAAGAAACUUUUCCAGGUCUUGAUAAAAAAGAAGCCCAGAAGGCCAGCAGAGACAUUGAGGGAAGGUAUGAUACCAGUUGUAAGAUUGAGCUUCAUUACUAUGACGCAGAACAAAACGCUCAGCACGAAGCUCAGCACAAAGGCCCUCAGUGUCAGCUGAUUCCUCCAUGAUGGCACUUCUUGGAUCUCAAAUAUUCUUUCCACUUACAACUCUUCUUCUUGUUCCUCUUUCUUGUCCUUCUUUCUGUGACCAUGAUCAUCCUCCAAAUUAUAACCAUUCUCUACCUUGGUAUCGUCUCUUUCAUUACGUUCCAUUUUAUUUUCUUAAAUAAGUGGUUGUGAUUAUUGCUCAACACAUCACAGGCGAAUUGAAGACGAUGAAUAUGAGAAGGAGUUAAAACGGGUUGCUGUGGUGAGUUUUAAAUUUUAAUCUGUCUGGUUUUUUUUUUUUUUUUUUAAGAUUUAAUUUUAAAUUAAUUUCAUUUAAUAUUUUUGAAUUGUUUUGAAAUGUUAAAAUUAAAAAUAAAUUUUAAAAUAUAAAAAAUAUAUUAUUUUAAUAUUUUUUUUGAAUGAAGUGUAUUUUGAAAAAUAAUUAAUAUUAUAUUUUUAGACACCUUUAAAAUAAGAUUUUAAUGACAUGUGUAUGAGUUGGUGUGUGUGUGCCUAUAUUAUUUUUUAUUUUUUGGUUGAAAAUAAAAAAGUUUAAUUUCAAAUAAAAAAAUAAACUUCUAAAAAGGAAUGUUUUAAGUAAGUUACCGAAUGGCCACUGAAUGUAGAAGACGAGAAGUCAAUAGUCAAUUUCCAAAAAUUAAAAAAAAAAAAAAGAUGAUCAUUACACUUCCGACAUAUUUGUUACAUACAGCUUUUAUCGUCUUCCUCGACGCAUCUGAUAUUUUUUCCAUCUUUUUUCUUUUCUCGUGUUGGAUAACUAAGUCUGGCAUGGUUUUAUUGUGAGACUGAUAACAACUAGAAGGCCAUUCCAAUGCCACAUUGGACCACCUGAUAUGAUCAUAGCUAGCAAAAUGAGCAAACCUGAUACCAAAUAUAGCAACUGAUCAUAACAGCUCACAAAGGGUACUGUGAUUUUCACUUUUCACAUUGCAUGAUGCAUCUGUUCUACUAUCUUCUUCAAACUAGACAAGAAAAAAAACUACAUGCAUAUAUAAGUGAAUGGACAUUUGAUUUUCUUCUCCAUAAAUGAUUAUAGAGAAAAUAGUUGUUGGCUCCACGAAAGAGCAGGUGAUUGAUUUUCAACUUCGACUUUAUGACCCUAAGAACGCAUCGACCUUAGCAUUUGUUCCCCUUGACAAAAACUUCAUACAAAUGGGAGGUUUUACUCCUACUAGAGCAAGUAUCGCACUAGGCAAAGUCCAUAUCCCAUCCCCGCAAAUCAAACCAGAAGCCACUGCUGGCCCAAAAGCAUCUGCCUUUGCCUUGUCAAUCUUUUCCCAGAUAAAUAGAAUCAAGCUUCCCACACACAUGUCGAUGGCAAAGUAUGAGCCAAUAUAGAAAGGUAUAGCCAUCGCCAUUGGAUUGGGAAUGAACCUAGCCCAUUUCUUACCCAAUGCAUCCUUCAUUAAAUUUAUGAGAAUAGCUGCACUGAAGAACCCAUAGCAAAGAUAGAGGCAAUUCUUUGGUAGAGACGAGAAUCCGUCUACCCCCAAUAUAGCCAUGUUUCGAAAUACAGUAGCAUUAGGAGCAGGGUAUUGACUUCCAGGAGUCCCAAGAUCCUUGAAGGCCUUGAAAAACAGCCAAAAGACACAAGGUGAAAUAACGCAACCCAUUGCAGUGCCAAUUAGUUGGCUCACAAACAUGGACCGUGGUGAAGAAAGGGUUAGAUAACCAGUCUUGAAAUCUUGAGAGAGGUCGGAGGCUGUGGAGACGAUAUUCAUCAUGACUCCACAGGCCGCUAGUCCUGCAAGAACUCCACCAUGAGAGGCACCAGCCCAUGCUCCAAUUACAAAAAUUGCGAGCUUCCCAUAGGUGGAAGCAAGGGACCAGUCAGUGAGGCCACAGCCAUAAGCAUUACAGAAUGCAAGGGCUGGGGCAAAGACGUAGAUAACCAAUAUGUAAUACCAUUUGAGUUCGGGAAAUAUAUGCGGUAGCGUGGCUGUAGAGAUAGCAGCAAUUGCGACAUAGCCUGCAACAGCAAACCAUGUUGGAAUUUGAUCUUUGAGAAAGAGUUGGGUGCGGCGUUGAUCAUUGUAUGAGAUCCUGGAUGUCUCGGGAGAGGAACGGUCCGCAAUAGGGAGGACACCAGUUGCAUCGCUCCUUUGAAGUUGAAAAAACAAGGCAGUGAGUGUUCGGCUUAGCACCUUGAAGAAGUUGUACAGACCGUCACCCAAGAUCAGGGCAAUGGCAAUAAAUACCUGAGUUCAUUGCAUAAGAGUUGUUAUGAAUGAAAAGGCUUCAAGAAUAGCACUCUUGUCACCUUAACCUUGUUGGAAAACUUACCUUGUAACCUUGGAGGCCAUGUAGGCUGUUAGGUUUGAGGUCUGCUGAAUACCAAUCACCCUUUUUUGUAUCUAUGAGAGGCCACAUGAGACCCCAGGAAAGAAUUCCUCCAAGCAAUACUGAUAUGUUUAUGAUGUAGGGGCAAAUCAUUCCAACUCCAACAUAUGUUGCUGAGAAAUCAAAGAAAAAUCUGUACAUAUAACAAUAACAUUAUUAGUCAAGGAUACCACAACAAAUUUGAAACACAAUGCCAUAAUAAAUUGAACUACAUUCAAUAGGAUGAGAGGAUUUUGGAAGUUUUGUGUAAUGCUUUUACUUGUUUUCAUAUGCUUUAAGUCCGAGUGAGGGGAACUCAGCAAAUCCACAACCAUCUCCUGCAGUGUAGAACCACUGAAAGAAACCCCACAAGAAGCUGAAUGAUAAGAACUUGCCCAACGCUUUCACUUGUUUUCUGAAACGGUAGAAAAAAAAAAGUUUGAUACUUUUACAUGCCGAAUGAUCAUCCAACUAUAUGUGCAUGAGGUCUGAUAAUGCCUUACUUUGCUAGCUUGGCUCCUGAAGGAGUGUGGAAGCUGUUGAUGAGAUAAGCAGUUGCAGUGCCACUUGGAUAUGUCAAUUUGAAGUCUAUAAUCAUGACCUGGAAAUAACCAGGGUAACAAUGAAGAUUAGAUUUUGGCAAAAUCAAUACAUUCAACAAGAAAGCAAAAUUCAGAGAGAAGUUUUCUAUUUCCUAUACGAAAUUGAAUGGCGAUGUAGGUUGUGAAGUCUACCUUUCGAAGAGGCACCACUGAAAAGAGUCCAAGAAAGCUAACAACAAACAGAAAGCCAAUCAUCCAUGACAGAGAUGGGUUCUUAAAGGCAUCACUAUCUUCCGUUGAUUGUUCGGCCACGGUUUCACUCAUUCCAAACAGAUAACUCCCAAAGCCUCCUAUUGUAAGGAAACAAGAAACAAAUUAUAGAAUAGAAACUAUUAGUACAAAAAAUCAACAAGUUUAAUUUCAUCUUGAGCCUAAUCACAAAUUAUUUCUUUCGUUACAACAAUUUCAGUUUCGAAAGCUCUUGGAUGAUAAGUUGGAAAUGGAGUGUAUUCAUCUUCACAUCAUGCUUAUGAUUCUCAGUAAAUGAGCAAGCUCAGUAUAGUAAAUUUUAUUAAAAAAAUAAUAUAUAUCAUAUCCCGUAGCCGUUCGUAUCUUUUGAUACAAGUAUACUUCACCUAACCGCUUGAUGAAAUCUAGAUUAACAGUAGAAACAAAUUAAUAACUCAUAUUUUCUUUUCUCUUACCAACGGGGAAGACUUCUUUAUCCGCUAAUCAGAAUAUUCUUACAAGACUUGUAUAAACUUUGAAGUUAGCAAAUCAUCCAUAUCCAGCUCAUAUGAAUUGAAUUUUCAAAAAAGUAUCUGUCUAGAGACAUCUGCCAGUGACACUUUAUGCCUCGUGGAGGACCAUUAGAAAAAUAAAAAGCAGCCCUCACCACCAUUAUCACACUCCAUGAGACAGGGAAAGGCCAGUAAAGAAAAUUUACAGACCAUUUAAUUAAACUUUUUUACUAAAGAAUAUUUGUCCAUGUCUCAAACAGCAAGUUCUUGUGUUGAUUAGUUUAGUAAAACUUCACGAGUGGCUGAAGCAAUAGCAGAACUGGUAGUCAUAAAACCUCAAUUUCGAUUUGUCUCCCAAAGACUUUAGGCAGUAAAGAAUUCUUGUCUUCAAGGAUCAUGUAAAUCUACUCAAAUCUGAGAUAAAAGGGAUCCAGAGAGAAACUUACAGUACUUGCUAAAACUCAAUUUCAAGAUUUGCUUCUUCUAAUUGCUAUAUUCCAUGGUAAGGAACAGAAACAAAACCAAAUGCACAGAAAUUUUAAUAUCUUGAUCAAAGAAGCCUCCAUAUCUCCUCAACCCAAAAAGUAAGAGAGAUGAAAUGAAAAUUAAUGGCAGUAAGAAGUACAGAAAGUAUACCACUAAAGGCAAUGCCAGAGGAUGCAACCACACAAGUCUGGAUAACAGUGUUCUCUUGCCUCGUAAAGGGCUGCUUCAAAAGGCCAGACUUUUCAAGAAAUUUCGUCCAGGUCUUGAUAAAAAAGAAGCCCAGAAGGCCAGCAGAGACAUUGAGGGAAGGUAUGAUACCAGUUGUAAGAUUGAGCUUCAUUACUAUGACGCUGAACAAAAUGCUCAACACGAAGCUCACCACAAAGGCCCUCAGUGUCAGCUGAUUCCUCCAAGAUGGCACUUCUUGAUUCUCAAAUAUUCUUUCCACUGACAACUCUUCUUCUUGUUCCUCUUUCUUGUCCUUCUUUUUGUGAUCAUGAUCAUCCUCCAAAUCAUAACCAUUCUCGACCUUGAGGUCAUCUCUUCCAUUUCGGUCCAUUUUGUGUUCUUGAAAAGAGAAAGAUUCUUUAUGGAGGCUAAGAAAGUUGGGAGAGUGUUAAAUAAGGUGGUGGUGAUUAUUGCUGUACACAUCAAAGGCGUGAAGGAAGAGGUAUAGACGCGUUGCUUAAGAAGUGUGAAAGCAAUGGGAGAUGAUGACUGUGAGAAAGAGUUGUGACAAUUAAGUGGUCGUAGUUGACAUAACGUGUUUCACUCUGGUUGCAGCCUUCACGCUGGGUAGGAAGUCAACUUGUCAAAGCAGUUUAUUUAACGUUGUCAAUUUUGUUUCGAUAGUUAUUUUGUUUUAUCGAUUAGAAUGAAAUGUUUAAAAUAUUUUAACGUAUUUUUUCAGAGUUGUACUAUAUAUAUAUAUAUAUAUAUAUAUAUAUAUAUUUAUUUAACAAACAUAAUUUAAAUUUAAAAUAAAUUAAUUAUAAUUUAUGCAAUACAAACAUAAUGCCAAACAAAUAUAAUUUUAAAAUUUAAAAUAUUUUUAAAUAGUCAAGAUUAAAUAGAUCUUUAACUUAAAAUAAUUCAACUUAAAUAAAUUAUCAAAAUAUUAUGAAAGUAAAAUGUUUUAACACAAAUAUUUUAAAUAUAAAGUUAGGUCAAUGUUAUCAAGGUUAAUGGAAUCUAAAGCAUCCCUUGUUUUGCUCAAAUUCCUACAAAGUAUAAACAUGAAAAAAACAACAUGAAUAUAAACCAUAUAUAUUAGUGAUAAAUCUAAUUUUAAAAAAUUAAUAUCAUUGUUAACGAAAAUAGUAAUAAUAAUUUUCAAUAUUAUUAUUAAUAUCAUUGUUAUUGAAAAUAGUAAUGAAAAAUAGUUUUUUAUAAUUGGGUGGUUUAAUUAAUUAAAUUGAACACGGUUCAAUUUGAUUCAAUGGCUUUUCAAGAGCGGAACGGAAUAUAUGGAAUGAAACCGGAACGUUCUAGGCGGAAUUUAGCCGAAAAAUUCGGAACGGACCGAGAUUUAAAAUGAGAUGAAAUUUGUUCCGUUUUGUUUCGUUUUUUGAAUUCAUAUGGAAUGUUUUGACCGUUUCAGGCGAAACGGAACGAAAUUGACAACCUUGGUUUAUUUAAACGUGUUCCGGGCUCAAGUCUUCUUGACUUGGUUAAAACUCUGAAGCAUACCUGGUUUUACUUAAACAAAAUAAUUAAAAUAAUAUAUUUUAAAUUAAAAAUAAAAAAGUAUUUUGAAAAUAUGUUAUUUUAAUUAAUGCCUAUUGACAUAAAUCUUGAGGUGGAUCAAUUUUACCAAAUUUUAUAACUAUAUAUACUUAAUUCAAAGGUUUGAAAUGAUUUUUGAAUCUAAAAAAUAUAUGUAAAGAGUCGAAAAACACACUGAGAUAUAAAUUUGUUUAUACAAUAAAAAUAAAUGCACAAUAAUUACAGCUUUUUUUUUUAUCAAAAAUAUAAUUUUUAACUAAAUUAAAAGGAUUAUUUCAUAACAAAUAAUUUAAAAAUUCAUAUGAAAUAAUUAUCAAACUUGGGAACCAUUUUGAAAUUUGAAAAGGUCAUGUUUUCCAUCCGCACCCCUAAUUUUUCUCUUGGAUUUCGUUAAUAAUUAACUUAAGAAAAUGGUAUACUUAUAUCUAAUUUGGACAUAUUUUUAUAAAUUUUGAUCUUAAAAUAAAUACAUUUAGAAAUAUAAAAAAGGAUAUAAACCUAACCUCCAUCCCUGCUGAACCAAUGGAGAAAGAACACGAAUGAAGCGAAGAAGUUCUAAAAUUACAAGAGAACUGUCAAGGGAUCAAAACAGCUGGUUAUUAAAGGAGUUUUUUGUCGGCUUUAUGUAAAAUAUUCAUUUAGAAAGAGAGCUUCUAAAUACAUCACAAGUUAAAUCUGUGCCAAUCUGUAAUGAAUAAAAAAGGUAUAAUAAUACUAUAAAUGACUUAAUAUCAAAUUAAUACUAGUAAUAAUAUUAGCAAAAAAAAGUGAAUCGUCACCUCAAUUUUUUUAAUGUUUUUGUAAAUGUUAUAAAUAUAAAAAGAGUUAUACCUUAGAUAAGCAGUUAAAAGUGAAACGUAAACCCUUCAAACAUUUAUUUUUUCUUGGUUUCUUAUUUAUUUUCGUUAUUUUGUAUUUUUUUUUAAUUUUAUCAGCUCUAUGUUUUAAUAAUUUCGGAAUGUCUAAGGCAAAUAAUUAAUGGUAUAAAUAGAACAAAAGGUAAAUAAUACAGUAAACAGAUGUACGUACCCCUACAUUGGUUCUUUUAAUUCCAUUGAAGUUCUUUAAAAGUAUAUUAAAAGUAUAUUUUUACUGUUAUUUUUUAAAAUAUUUUUUAUUUUAAAAUAUAUUAAAAUAAUAUUUUUUAUUUUUUAAAAAUUAUUUUUUAUAUUAACACAUUAAAAUAAUCUAAAAAUAUUUAAAAAAUAUUCAUUUAAAGUAAAAUAAAAAUAAAAAAAUUUAAAUUUUUUUUUAAAUAUUUCUAAAACACAAUUUCAAAUACUCAUUAAAUAUACACAGCUAGCUUUACAUUUUUUUUCCUUGACAAGGGUAAGAAACAUUACUGAGAUCAUCACAGUCGAUGGACCCCAUAACAGAGUAGAGAAAUUAAUUAAGACAAUUAAUGGUGUCUUGUCAGCUUUGAAUAUUGCAUGCAUCCGCGAGUGAUUGACGUGGAAUAAGUGUUGAGGGACAUUUCAAUGGAAAAAAAAUCAAAAGGGCAUAAAUAAGGGACCCCAUAACAAGACAGGGGGGGACCUGAAAAUAAUUAAAAAAUUAAAACCAAAAAAAAUGAAAAGAGAGAGGGAACCUGACACAUAAAAAAUAAAAAUUAACAUGAUAGUGUAGCUGGAUUAAAAAAUGAAAAGUACAUAAUAAAUGAAAAGAAAAUACUAACUUUAGGAUAUAAUUCAAUUAAUCAUGUCUUAAAAAUUUAUAAAAAAAUUAACUAAAAGUUAUAGUUCAAGUGAAAAAAUAAAAAGAGCAUAAUAAUAAAAAUAAAUUAAUUUUAAAAUAUAUAUCUUAACUAGUCAAGUUUUAAAUUUAUUUUUAAAAAAUUAUUAGUUAAAUUCUCAUAAAUUUAAAACCAUUAAAAUCUUUUAUAUAUAUAUAUAUAUAUAUAUAUAUAUAAAAUCAUUAACUUCAGUAGCGUAGAAAUGAUCUCCUCCAGCGUCACAAAUAGACCACCACAGCCCCGUCGAUUUCUCCUCCCUCUGGCUGUAUCGUCGCCACAAACCUAAGCCAUUUAAACUGAACUACCUGAAACCCACUAGCCUCGACUUCUCUCCUCCACUCUGACCACGGACCCCCAGCUCUCCACCACGCCUGCAACAUCUCUUCUCAUCUCUUUUCUCUGCCUUUUGUUUUCUUCCUUUUCCUACCUUCGUCUUUCUGCUAUGCUUUUCAAAUUUUAAUCCAAUUUUUUUAUUUUUUUUAGAUAACUUUUACAGCAACCCCCUCUUAAAUCUAAAUAUAUGCAGAGAAAACACAAAGAGCAUUUGAAUCAAUGUAGAAGGUUUUGAUCUGAUUAUUUAUUUUCCCUUUUCUUUUUCUUUUUUCUUUGAGAAUCAUUUUACUUGUUCGUUACUUUGAUUUCAUGGGCUCAGCAAAUGGACGUAAUUGUCAAUACCUAUAACCAUUCAUUUUCCAAGUCAAGACGCGCAUGCUCAUGAAGUAAACCUAUCAUCAUUCAUUUUCCAAGCCAAGAUCAACUCUUCAAUUAAUUAGUUAUACGAGGAAGGAUUUCAAUAGAUCCCACAACGACAAAUCAUCUCCAUCUUAUUUGGAGAGGACUAAUUUGCGUCUUAUACAGGUUCUGUAUCUUAAAGUCUGCCUUGGAUUUAAUUAAGAGAUCAACAUUUUACAUAUUAAAAAAUAAUAAAAAUUAUAUUUUAAAAUUUCAUAUAUCCCACAUCAGUUAAAUAUCAAGAGCUUAAAUAUCUAGAUGACAUAAGGUAUUAAAUUAGUCAUCUAAGAUUAGACGUGCAUAACAAGAAAAUUUAUCCCAGGGACAAAUUUGUACUUUUUGUUGGAUUUAAAGACGAAACUCAUCUCCCUCGUAGGGAAAUUCAUGGUGACUAAUUUCGUUCCUCAUUUAAGGAAAUAAAAACUAAUUUCAUAUUCAAAUUAAGUUUUUAAUCCUAGUGAUUAGAAUUUCAAAUUUUAUCACUCUUGUUAUUUUUAAUUAGAUUAAAAAUUAUUAGCAAGAUACUAAUAGCUCUUAUUCUUUCUAAUUAAAUUAAAAAUUAAAUAUAAGAUAUAUAUCCAUAGGAUAUGUAAAUUUUUACUUGAAGAAAUGUGCUAAAGAAUUAAUAUUAAACUAUUUUUAGAUUUUUAGAUUGAAAUAGUUAUUUAACAAAUAUUAAUAAUUUUAUAGCAUGGAUAAUUGAUUAUCCAUAAUUCAUGAAUUUAUUCUUAUGGAAUAUUAAAAAAAAAAAGAAUUUUACUACUUGAGUCCUCACUCCUCCCUAUUAACAUAGGUUGCUCUAAUAUCAAUUGACAUGGUGUAUAGUGUUAAGGAUCCUCAUACCCUAAAAUUUCAUAGUCUUAAAUUGCAGAGAAAGAAACUAGAGGUCUCACAAUAUAAAAGUCUUUAUAUCGUAAAUUCUUCCGUUAAAAAUAGCCUACAAGGAAGUUUAAAUACAAAAAACAUUAUAUAUGCUUAUUAGUAAAAUCCUAAUUAAAUUUUAAAUCCUAAUCUAAAUAGGGAGAAUAAUCCAAAAACAACAAGGAAAAUAAAUACAAUCUUAAGCAAUAACUUUUAGACUGAAUUAAGCAUAUUCAUGAACUCAAAUGAAGUUGUCGUACAAAUCAUUUAAGGAACAAGGCUUUUAGAAUGUUUUGUUAAAAUUUCAGCUCAACCCAAUAGUCGGAUGAUAAGUUAUACCUAUUUUCAUUAUACUACCCAUUGGACUCAUUUGAAACUCCUCAAAAUCUAAAAAAUCUUAACAAUGAAAAAAUAUAAAGAAAUAAAACAAAUUAUGCUAAGGAUAAUGAAUAUAAUGCCCUACUUUAUUCUUCUCCACUUAUUAAAAAAACUCGCUCUCGAUUUAAGUAUUAGAAACUGAACUCUUCCAUUCCAAAAACAUAGAUACUUUGAAUAUAGCUUUAUAGUGCAUAUUCUCUAAGUAUAAUGUCUUUGACUCGUGAGUUUCAAAUUCCAAUUUAUGGUGUAUGAAAGCUAAAGAAGGAUUCAUAUCAAAUAUUACACCUUUUGUUCUUGUAAAGUUCACUAGUAGUAGUUCACUGGUAGUUCCUUCACACAUUCUUAUACUUUAAACAUGAUCUCUGUUGUGAAAAAUCUGCAGCAAUUAUUGAUGAAUAUUGUAAAAGGAGAAAAACUAGAAAGAACACAAGAUUUAAUGUGAUUCGGCAAUGUGUAUGUAUCCCCAUGAGCAAUGAUAUUUUAUUUUUCACUAUAUGUCGAAUAGAAUUAUUGUGUAUUUAUAGUACACCCUAAACCUCUCAAGGGUCUAACCGUCUAAGAGAUAUUAUAAUUUUUUAAUAAUACUCAUUUACAGUAUCGUGGAGGCAUUGCCCCACACCCCAAUCUAUCAAUCAUUCUUGAUAACAAAUAGAAAAUAAAUCAUAACAUGAUAGAUACCAUCAUUCCACUUUACUCUAGCAUUUGUCUAUAUGAACUACAAACUACUUGUUAUUAUUUAUUUUUGGAUCCCCACACAAAAAAAGAGAAAAAUAAAAAAAAUACCAGAAGAAAACCAGAAAAUAGAUAGCAGUGAGAAGAAGACACAAGGACACCCAGAAAAUAGCUAAAAAUUGGUAGAGGAAGUUCAAAAAUACAAAGAUUGAAAUUUGACAGUAUAUUUUUGAUCGGUGAAGGCUCUAUUGACAAAAAAAAUUCAAUUUGAUGAAGAAAAGUCCAAAAUCAAAUGUUUAAGGACUCAAUUAGAUUUUUUUGAAAGAUUAAUUGAGUUUUUGAAGGGUUUGAUUGCAAGAAAAAUUCAUUUUUAAGUCAAUUUUGACUUUAAUUAGAAAAAACAUUAAAGUUUGGGGGUUAAAUUAUAAUUUUUAAGAGUUAAUUUGGUCAAAUCAGAGGCUUAAUUGCAUAAAUAUUGAAGUUUGAUGGGCAAUUAAGGACUUGAUUGAAGAAAUCCAAAACCAAAGACCCAACUGGAAAAGGCUCGCGAAUAUAGGGGCUGGAAUUGACCGAAUCAGGGGCUAAAUUGAAGAAAUUAAAAGUUUGUUGAUCAAUUAAGGGUCAAAAUACACAAAUUCAAAACCAAUGACUAAAGUGAAAAAGGCAUCCAACAUCAAGGUUGGUAUUUGAAUUUGACAGGGAUGCAAUUGAAUUGAUUCUUAAAAACAAAAUUGCAAUUGACGACUUGAUUGAAUAAAAAAAAUUGAGGACUGAUUUGGAAAUUGAUAUGUUUUGGCGCUAUUUUAAUUUAAAUAAAAUGAUGUAUUUUGUAAAUAACGACGCUGUUUCAUUCACUGUUCAUAUAUAUAUAUAUAUAUAUAUAUAUAUAUAUAUAUAUAUAUAUAAACUUAAAACGAUGUCGUUUUGAACGGCACUAUGUAUCUUUUUCUUCCCCUAACGCACAAAGGCAGGGGAAGAAGGUUUUUCUUCCAUUCCUUUACAGCGUCUAUCUCUCCCUCUCUCCCCCUCCCAUUGCCCAAAAACCACGACACCACCCACAUCCCCCGAGAACAAAGGAAGGAAAAAUGAGAGAAACAAAAACAAAAAAACAUAGAAAAAAAGAAAGAAUUGGAGAGACAAGAACGAGAGAAGAAAAAAAAAAGAGACAACAAGAAAGGAAUAAAAAAAGGAAAUAGAGGAAUUUCAUGCCCCUGUACAGAGAAGAAAAAACCGCAACAGCAACCACCGUUUUUUCUCCCCACCGUCGCCUGCUUUCCUCGUCGCCAUCGUUAGCACCACCGUGAAGCCACCACCAGGUCAACCUCUCCUCCUCCUUCUUUUUCUGCUUCUCCUUCAGUCACCCUCGACUAUUUUGCAAGUAGAGAGUGAUUUAUAAUUCAUUCUCUACUAUUCACUUAUAGAAUAGUGGAGUCUCUCCACUGUUUACUAGGUCAAACCAGUUUCGGCCCAGACUAAAAUGGUGGGAUCAGGUUCGGCCCAGUCCCAUAAAUAGAAAAGAAGUUUUGUUGGGCUGACAUCAGCCCAACCCCUAUUUUAAACUGGUGUUGGCCAAUGUUUUUAGCCGACUUGGCCUAUUUUAGACUGGUGUUGGCCCAACAUAUGUUGAAAUAGUCACAGUUUUGCGUGCUCACCAAGGUUGUCAAUUCCGUUCCGUUCCGUCCGGAAUGGCCGAAAUAUUCCAUACCAAUUCAAAAAACAAAACAAAACGGAACAAAUUUCAUCUCAUUUUAAAUCUCGGUCCGUUCCGGAUUUUUCGGCUAAAUUCCGCCCGGAACGUUUCGGUUCCAUUCCACAUGUUCCGUUCCGCUCUUGAAAAGCCAUUGAAUCAAAUUGAACCUUAUUCAAUUUAAUUAAUUAAACCACCCAAUUAUAAAAAGCUCUUUUUUAUUACUAUUUUCUAUAACAAUGAUAUUAAUAAUAACAUUGAAAAUUAUUAUUACUAUUUUCAUUAACAAUGAUAUUAAUUUUUUAAAAUUAGAUUUAUCACUAAUAUAUAUGGUUUAUAUUCAUGUUGUUUUUUUCAUGUUUAUACUUUGUAGGAAUUUGAGCAAAACAAUGGAUGCUUUAGAUUCCAUUAGCCUUAAUAACAUUGACCUAACUUUAUAUUUAAAAUAUUUGUGUUAAAACAUUUUACUUUCAUAAUAUUUUGAUAUUUUGUUUAAGUUGAAUUACUUUAAGUUAAAGAUCUAUUUAAUCUUGACUAUUUAGAAAUAUUUUAAAUUUUGAAAUUAUAUUUGUUUGGCAUUGUGUUUGUAUUGCAUAAUUUAUAAUUAAUUUAUCUUGAAUUUGAAUUAUGUUUGUUGAAUAUAUAUAUAUAUUCGGAGUGUUUCGGCGUGCCGUUUCGGGGUUGUACUGUUCAUAUAUAUAUAUAUAUAUGAACAGUACAACCCCGAAACGGCAUGCCAAAACACUUCGAAACUAAAAUAUUUUGUUCCAAUUAAAAAAACAAAACACCUAUCAAAACAAAAUUAACAACCUUGGUGCUCACAAGGGAAUACCUAUAACCAUUCAUUUUCAAAGUCAAGACACGCGUGUUCAUGAAGUAUACGUAUCAUCAUUCAUUUUCCAAGUCAAGACCGACUCUUGAAUUAAUUGUAUGAGAAAGGAUUUAUAAAUUCCACAACGAAUAAAUCAAACCUCUCUUCCCUUAAUUGCUUUUUUGUUAUUUCAAAAGUAUUUUUCCACCUUCUUAUUUUCGCCAUGCUUUUUUAAUUUUCAAUCCAAUCAGUCUUUUAAUUAUCUUUUGUCAAUUUUUACUCAGUCUUUUGUACUGUUUUGAUGUCUUAUAUGUAUGAUAGUUUCUCAGGUAUUUUGGAUUUUGGAAAUAUUUUUCUAGCUAGGUCGCUGGAAGAACGACUCUGUGACCAUAUCCUUCAACGUAGCAGGUCAUGAGCCCCCUGCUCUUUUGCUUUCCUACGAAUAUAAUCUUUCAUUCAUAAAAAAAUCAGAAGAAGAAGAAGUUAUUUUUACCUCAGCCAUGAAUGACUUUUUCUCGGCUGCGAGGAGCCCAAGACCUCAAAUUUGCAGUUUAUAAAAUCAACUGAAGAGCUUAUUUCAAUGUUUAUUUGUGCAUUAAUAGAUAAAUAUAUUAGAGUAGGGCAAUAUUGUGUAAUCUUCAAUCCCAUCAUACCACAGAAAAAAAAGAUCAAGUAAAAGUUGAGAGUGCUUAGUUUUUGCAUAACAUUUAUUUACAUUUCAAGUUGCCUGAACAAAACAGGCACUUAAACAGGUUUUGACUGUUUGUUUCUGAAGGGCCACACCAGAAGAUUAAAAAAAAAACAAAUAUCAUAGAAAUUUUAUUUAUUUGACUACUUAAAGAACCUGGACAUGAUCCACAGUACUCCCGUUUAAUGUUAAUUUCAACCUAUGUCACAAGUCACAACUGCUUCGAAGAAAAUAAUACGAAAGUAAUAUUUCGAGGAAAGUAUAGUUUUCCAAUUCAACAUCUUGGAAAAGUUUUUGAAAUUAAUUUAAAUGUUGAAUACUUUUCCAAUUCAACAUAUCGUGUCUCAUAUAUAUAUAUCAGCUAGCUAACCCUCUCCAUCUCUACAAUCACCCAUCUCGCAGACUAGCUCGCUCUCUACACAUACCAAGACAUACAUUUGAUUCCCUAAAAAUCUCAGGUUUCUUUCGUGUCAAGAAUGGGGUCUCAAGGAAAGGCUCGAUACUUGACAAUAAUAGUACUCCUUGUUACCAUUAUUUUGUUAUCAUGUUCUAACCUUACUGUGAUAGCAAGAAUAGAGAAGAGAGAUCCAUGCAUAUAUCACCCCAAUGAUCCUACGUGCAGACCCGGUGAACCAGCUGCAGCUCAAAGGUUUGAUGGGGGGAGGAGUUAGGAGAGGUGGUUUGACCUAAUCGUAUGAUGAAUGAUCAGUAAUCGUUUAUCCUUGUAUUAGCCAAGAAGGAAGGCAUGGCUACUUAAUUUAUCCAUGGUAAUUAUUUGUGUGUCCUCCUUCGCUGGUUAAGGUUACUUCCUAGCUAUUGCCAUGUUUUCUUUAAUUUCCCAUGCUUUUUGGCAUUUGUACCCAUUAAUUCUUCCCCUUGCUUUGAUUUGCCAAUGUUAUGCUAUUAAUAAAGUUUCUUCAUUUAUCUAAAAGAAAAAAACGCUUGCAUAUGCAUGCAAUUAAUAUUUAAAGUUUUUUUUUUUUGAAAGAUGUGUAUAUUAUUUAAACGCCAAAGCCUGGUGGGAGUAGUACAGAAACUACACAAUAUCUUACUAUGGCAAAAAGCCAUAAAUAUGAUAAAGCGCAGUAUAAGAAAAACAAAAGCAAAAAAAACCUUAGAAUAGCCAUCCGAAUGAGCUCAAAGCUAAAUUAACAAUCCUCUACAAAACAAAAACGAAAAUAACUCAAAGACAUAAUGGGAGAAGACACAAGAGCAAGGCCAUAGAAAAAAAAUAAAUGUAGUCAAAGCCAGGCAACAAAAUCACUUGAUCUCUGCACUCCUUGUUUAGCCAUGCAGUCUGCCAUGCAAUUACUUUCACGGAAGAUAUGGGAGAAGGUGAUUGAACCAAAAUAUGCUUUCAGCCUAUUAACAGAGGAGAACAAAUUAUGAUGCUUUCAAGGACGGCUGUGAGGCUUAUUCAUCCAGCUAAUAACAUUGACAGAGUCAGAUUCUAUGAUGAGGUGUUGAUGGUGGAAGAGACAAUUAGAUGCUGAAAGUUCAAUGGCUUUGACAAUAGCCCUUAACUCAGCAAUAUUAGAGUCUAAAAUACCAACUGGAAUAGAGAACAUACCGAGAAGAUGUCCAUGAUGAUUUCGCAGUACACCAACUAUUCCAGAAGGGCCUAGCUUACCAAGAGACAAGCCAUCCACGUUCCAUUUGAGGCUAUUAAUCAUAGGAGGAGACCACAUAUUAUGAAUCCUGAAUUUAAAGUUGAAAAGACAAUAAUAUUUUCUCAUUGGGAAAAUUAAUGUCUACGCGUUGAAUAAUUUGGCCUCUUCAAGUUAUGACAUUACUCUUUAAUAAUGUUAGAAGUAAAUGUCAAAACAAUCUUUUUAGUGAAUUUUGUUGCUGGUGGAAGUUCAUUUAAUUUGUACAGUAUGGCUUGUUUCCUGUUUUUCUUCUGGGUUUGGCUCGUAGCAGGUCAUGAGCCCCCUGCUAUUUUGCUUUCCGACGAAUAUAAUCUUUCAUUCAUAAAAAAAAUCAAAAGAAGAAGAAAUUAUAUUUACCUCAGCCAUGAAUGACUUUUUCUCGGCUGCGAGGAGCCCAAGACCUCAAAUUUGCAGUUUAUAAAAUCAACUGAAGAGCUUAUUUCAAUGUUUAUUUGUGCAUUAAUAGAUAAAUAUAUUAGGGGUCUCACAACCUAAUGUUACAACUUUUAGAAAAGGUUGCAGAGAAAACUUUAAUAUAUUAAUAAAAAAUAUUAUUUCAUAAAUUCUUCUUUGAAAAAUAGCCUAUAAGAAAGUUUAAAUACAAAAAUAAAUUAUAUAAUUAAACAGUAGCUUUUAAACUGAAUUUAGCAUGUUCAUGAACUCAAAUGAAGUUGUCUUACUAAUGGAACAAGUCUUUUUAGAAUGUUUUCGUACUUAAUAAUCAAAUGAUAAAUUAUAUCUAUUUUCAUUAGACUAUACAUUGAAUUCAUCCGAAACUCUUUGAAACCUAAAAAAAUCUUAACAAAUAAAAGAAGUUAGGCAAGAAAACUAAUUAUGCUACAUAUCAAAUAUUACACUUUCGUUCCUGUAAAUAUGCACAAAUAAAAAAAGUUCCUUGGGACAUUUGUAUACUUUAAACAUGAUCUUUGUUGUGAAAAAUUUAAAGCUUUUUGAAAUUUCGAGGAAAGUAUAGUUUUCCAAUUGUGCAAGAAACAAUUUAAAGUUAGGCAAGUCACAAAUGCUUCGAAGAAAAUAACAAGAAACAAUUUCGAGGAAAGUAUAGUUUUCCAAUUCAACAUAUUGGAAAAGUUUUUGAAAUGAAUUUAAAUGCUGAAUACUUUUCCAAUUCAACAUAUUGUGUCUCAUAUAUCAGCUAGCUAACCCUCCCCAUCUCUACAAUCACCCAUCUCGUAGACUAGCUCGCUCUCUCUACACAUACCAAGACAUACAUUUGAUUCCCUAAGAGUCUCAGCUUUCUUUCGUGUCAACAAUGGGGUCUCAAGGAAAGGCUCGAUACUUGAUAAUAAUACUCCUUGUUACCAUUAUUUUGUUAUCAUGCUCUAACCUAACUGCUCCUUUGGCUCCAUGCAAAUAUGAUCCCAAUGAUCCUAGUAAGUGCAAAGUCGGUGAACCAGGUGCAGCUCAAAGGUUUGAUGGGGGGAGGAGUUAGGAGAGGUGGUUUGACCUAAUCGUAUGAUGAAUGAGUAAUCGUUUAUCCUUCUAUUAGUUUGAAGGCAUAGCUACUUAAUUUAUCCAUGGUAAUAAUUUAUGUGUCCUUCGCUGGUUUAGGUUACUUACUAUUGCCAUGUUUUCUUUUCCCAUGCUUUUUGGCAUUUGUACCCAUUAAUUCUUCACCUUGCUUUGAUUUGCCAAUGUUAUGCUAUUAAUAAAGUUUCUUCAUUUAUCUAAAAGAAAAAAAGCUAGCGAAUUGUGUAUUUAUAAGGGUUUUUUACUUUUAUUUUUUUGAGAAGUCGACAUACUUCAAUGCAUGGUUGGUUUAUUAAUAUCUUUGUUUUUACCUAUUUUUUUGGGUUUCCACACAAAAAGAAAGAGAAAAAAAAAGAUAAAAUACAAAAAAAUUAAAAUUUUUUGUAAGAAGACCAAAAGAAAUAUAUAAGUGGGAAAAGUAUAUCGGAACGCCCCGAAAAUAGCUAAAGAUUGGUUGAGAAAGAUAAAAAAAAUACAAAGAUUAAAAUUUACCAUAUAUUUUCAAAUGAUGAAGACCCUAUUGGCAAAGAAAAUUAAAUUUAAGGAAGAAAAAUUUAAAAUUGGAUGUUUAAGGAAUCAAUUAGAUUUUGUUGAAGGUUUAAUUGAAUUUAUGGAGGACUUAAUUGCAAGAAAAAAUGAUUUUUAAGGCAAUUUAGGCUUUAAUUGAAAGAAAUUAAAGUUUAGGGAUUGAAUUGCAAUUUAUAAGAAUUAAUUUGAUCAAAUCAGGAGCUUAAUUAUAUUAGAUAUUAAAGUUUGAAGGGAAAUUAAAGAUUUAAUUGAAGAAAUUAAAAACUAAAAACCAAUCUAGAAAAGAAAAGAUGUGUAAAUUAAAAAAAAAUUACCUUACUUUGAUUUGCCAAUGUUAUGCUAUUCAUAAAGUUUCUUCACUUAUCUCAAAGAAGAAAAAAACAGCUAGCUAAUUCUGUAUUUAUAAGUUUUUUUUUUAGAAGUCGACAUACUUGUUGGUUAUUAAUAUCUUGAUACAAAUAUUAGGAAUUGAAUCUUUAUAUGUAUAGCAAAUAUAGUUUAUAUACAAAUGAGCAAACCUGAUACCAAAUAUAGCAACUGAUCAUAACCUUACCUGAUUGAGUAAAAUCCAAAGAUGUUACGUACUGGUGCAAAAGUUGUGAUAACAUCAACCAGCAAAACAACAGCUGAGGAAUUGAAGGCAGGAAAGCAGCAACCCAGAAUAACAACAGCGGUCUUGGGUGUGAUUCUGGAAGGUCGGAUACGAAUAAGGAAGAAGAAAUCAACAACGAUAAUUGCAAUAUGUUCAAAAUAAACAUGCCUGCAACCUGUAAUAUUUGCACAUGCACUUUUGAUAUUUUCCGUUUGCACAUUGUUUGAUGCAUCUGUUCCACUAUCUUCUUCAAACUAGACAAGAAAAAAACUACAAGCAUAUUUCCAAGGAUUGACUAACAAGCAUAUAUAAGUAAAUGGACAUUUGAUUUUCUUCUCCAGAAAUGAUUAUAGAGAAAAUAGUUGUUGACUCCACAAAUAGCAGGUGAUUAUCUACAGCAUUUUUUAGUCGAACUUCAUAUGUAAACUUCAUAACCUUAGUCUGGGAAGCAAUUCAGCUCUAACUCACAGUUUCUAUUGAAGUUCAUCUGAACUUCAAAUUUAUGACCCUAAAAACGCAUCGACCUUAGCAUUUGUUAUCCAUGACAAAAAUUUCAAGCGAAUGGGAGGUUUUACUCCUGCUAGAGCAAGUAUCGAACUAGGCAAAGUCCAUAUCCCAUCCCCACAAAUCAAACCAGAAGCCACUGCUGGCCCAAAAGCAUCUGCCUUUGCCUUGUCAAUCUUUUCCCAGAUAAAUAGAAUCAAGCUUCCCACACACAUGUCGAUGGCAAAGUAUGAGCCAAUCUAGAAAGUUAUAGCCAUUGCCAUUGGAUUGGGAAUGAAACUAGCCCGUUUCUUACCCAAGGCAUCCUUGAUCAAAUUUAUCAGAAUAGCUGCACCGAAGAACCAAUAACAAAGAUAGAGACAAUUCUUUGGUAGAGAUGAGAAUCCUUCUACCCCCAAUAUAGCCAUGUUUCGAAAUACAGUAGCACAAGGAGCAGGGUAUUGACUUCCAGGAGUCCCCAGAUCCUUGAAGGCCUUAAAAAAAAGCCAAAAUACACACCGGGAAAUCAUGCAACCCAUUGCAGUGCCAAUUAGUUGGCUCACAAACAUGGACCGAGGUCAAGAAAGGGUCAAAUAACCAGUCUUGAAAUUGAAUGCUGAUAUAGGUUGUAAAGUCUACCUUUCGAAGAGGCACCGCCGAAAAGAGUCCAAGAAAGCUAAAAACAAACAAAAAGCCAAUCAUCCAAGACAGAGAUGGAUUUUUAAAGGCAUCACUAUCUUCAGUUAAUUGUUUGGCCACGGUUUCACUCAUUCCAAACAGAUAACUCCCAAAGCCUCCUAUUAUAAGGAAACAAGGAAAAAAUUAUAGAAUGGAAACCAUUAGUACAAAAAUCAACAAGUUUAAUACCACCAUAACCAUAAUCACAAAUUAGCCGUUUCAUUACAAUAAUUAAUUCAGUUUCGAAACAAGUUUGGCAAGUAAUCAGACUUUUCUUGACUAUUUGGAUAAGUUAGAAAUAUAAUGUAUUCAUCUUGACAUUAUGUUAAUGAUUCACAGUUAGAGAAGAGGUUUGAUUAAUAACGCAAGCUCACAACUAGCAUUCUAGAAACAGAUAUUAUUCACAUUUUCCUUUCUUUGUCUUCAAGGAUCAUGCAAAUCUACUCACAUCUGAGAUAAAAGGGAUCCAGAGAGAGAAAAAUGGUUGCCUUAUCAUGUAAUCUAGCAAUUAGAAGAUGGAAAUCUUGACAUUGAAUUUUAGUAACUACUGUAAGUUUGCAACCUUUAAGAACAGAAACAAAACCAAAUGCACAGAAAUAUUAAUAUCUUGAUCAAAGAAACCUAGAUAUCUCCUCAACUUCGAAAGAAAAGAGAAAAAAAAAUUGAAUUUCAAAAUAAUUAAGAGAGAUGAAAUGAAAAUUAAUGGCAGUAAACAGUACGGAAAGUAUACCACUAAAGGCAAUGCCAGAGGAGGCAACCACGCAAGUCUGUAUUACAGUGUUCUCUUGCCUCGUAAAGGGUUGCUUCAAAAGUCCAGACUUUUCAAGAAACUUUGUCAAGGUCUUGAUAAAAAAGAAGCCCAGAAGGCCAGCAGAGACAUUGAGGGAAGGUAUGAUACCGGUUGUAAGAUUGAGCUUCAUUACUAUGACGCAGAACAAAAUGCUCAACACGAAGCUCACCACAAGGGCCCUCAGUGUCAGCUGAUUCCUCCAUGAUGGCACUUCUUGGUUCUCAAAUAUUCUUUCCACUGACAACUCUUCUUCUUGUUCCUCUUUCUUGUCCUUCUUUCUGUGAUCAUAAUCAUCCUCCAAAUGAUAACCAUUCUCUACCUUGGUGUCGUCCCUUUCAUUACGUUCCAUUUUAUUUUCUUAAAAGAAUGAUUCUUUAUGGAGACACAGAGAGUUGGGAGCGUGUUUAACAAGUGGUUGUGAUUAUUGCUCAACACAUCACAAGCGAAAUGAAGACGAUGAAUACGAGGAGUUAAAAGUUAAAAGUUAAAACGGGUUGUUGUAGUGAGUUUAACCUGUCUGUUUUUUUGGGUUUUCUUUUAAUUUUAAAUUAAUUUUAUUUAAUAUUUUUGAAUUAUUUUAAUAUAUUAAUAUUAAAAAUAAAUUUUAAAAUAUAAAAAAUAUAUUAUUUUGAUAUUUUUUGAGUAAAAAUUAUUUUAAAAAACAACUAUUAUUAUAUUUUAAACACUCUUUAAAAUAAUAAAGUGACAUAUAUGUGUUUGAGUUAAGUUUGUAAUUUUUAUAUAUGUGAUUUGUAGGUACUUUUAAAGAGUUAGACUAGAAAUAUAGCAGAAAUUAUUUUUAAAAUAAUCUAAAAAUAUUUUUUUAAUAUUUUUUUAAAUUAAAAUUAAAAAUUAUUUUCAAAACAAUUUGAAAAUAAAAAAUUAAUUUUAAAUAAAAAAAUUAAUUUUAAAAAGGAAUGUUUUAAACAAGUUACCAAAUGGCCACUGAAUCCAAAGCCAAAAGCUUCUAUUUCUAAUUUGUGGAAGACGAGAAGUCAAUAGUCAAUUUCCAAAAAAUUAAAAAAAAAUAAAGGGAAAAUAAAAGAUCUGUGAAUGUCCAUUGUCCAAAGUUUGUGGAAAAAAAAUGAUAUUAGAAAUAAAGAAAAUGAUAUUAAAUUACUUAAAGAAGCUAGACUAGAAAAGGAAUGUCCAUUGUCCAUUGUCCACAUGUGUUUGAGUUAAUUAAUUUUAAAUAAAAUAAAAUAAACUUUUAUAAAGGAAUGUUUUAAGCAAGUUACCAAAUUGCCACUGAAUCCAAUGCCAAAAGCUUCUAUUUCUAAUGUAGAAGACGAGAAGUCAAUAGUCAAUUUCCAAAAAAUUAAAAAAAAUAAAGGGAAAAAAAAAAUCUAUGUAGGUCCAUUGUCCAAAGCUUGUGGGAAAAAAUGAUAUAAGAAAUUGACAUAGCCUGCACGUGCGUGGAAGAUUUAAAGAUUUAAAGAUUUAAAAAAUGAUAUAAAAAUGAUAUAUACGUUGGUUUACUGAAUUCAUAACCACAGCAAGAUGAAGAGUUGAGGGAUUCUAUGAUAAUUAACUUUGAAUAUAUUUGCAUGGGGAAGAACGUCUGAUCCAAAUGAUAACCUCUUUAUGUAGUUCGCUCACUCUGGGCUUAGAUGCCAUUAAGACUACGGAAAUGCUUGUCUAUUUUCAGCUUCUUUUCAUAUUCUUAGGACAAGCCUUCAACAUAUUUGUUACAAGUCUCAUAUUCGCUGAAGCUUUUAUCGUCUUCCUCGACACAUCUGAUAUUUUUCCAUCUUUUUUUUUCUCGUGUUGGAUAACUAAGUCUGGCAUGGUUUUAUUGUGAGACUGAUAAUAACACAGAUGCCACAUUGGACCACCUGAUAUGAUCAUAGUUAGCAAAAUGAGCAGACCUGAUACCAAAUAUAGCAACUGAUCAUAACAGCUCACAAAGGGUACUGUAAUUUUCACUUUUCACAUUGCUUGCUGCAUCUGUUCUACUAUCUUCUUCAAACUAGACAAGAAAAAAAACUACAAGCAUAUAUAUAUAUAUAUAUAGAUAUAUAUAUAAGUAAAUGGACAUUUGAUUUUCUUCUCUAGAAAUGAUUACAGAGAAAAUAGGUGUUGCCUUGUUGGCUCCACGGAAUAGCAGGUGAUUAUCCACGGCAUUUUUGAGUCGAACUUCACAUGUAAACUUCAUAACCUUAGUGUAGGAAGCAAUUCAGCUUUACCUCACAGUUUCUAUUCAAGUUGAUCUGAACUUCAACUUUAUGACCCUAAGAAAGCAUCGACCUUAGCAUUUGUUCCCCUUGACAAAAACUUCAUGCAAAUGGGAGGUUUCACUCCUACAAGAGCAAGUAUCGCACUAGGCAAAGUCCAUAUCCCAUCCCCGCAAAUCAAACCAGAAGCCACUGCUGGCCCAAAAGCAUCUGCCUUUGCCUUGUCAAUCUUUUCCCAGAUAAAUAGAAUCAAGCUUCCCACACACAUGUCGAUGGCAAAGUAUGCGCCAAUAUAGAAAGGUAUAGCCAUCGCCAUUGGAUUGGGAAUGAACCUAGCCCAUUUCUUACCCCCAGCAUCCUUAAUUAAAUUUUUCAGAAUAGCUGCACCGAAGAACCCAUAACAAAGAUAGAGGCAAUUCUUUGGUAGAGACGAGAAUCCGUCUACCCCCAAUAUAGCCAUGUUUCGAUAUACAGUAGCAUAAGGAGCAGGGUAUUGACUUCCAGGAGUCCCAAGAUCCUUGAAGGCCUUGAAAAACGGCCAAAAGACACAAGGUGAAAUCAUGCAACCCAUUGCAGUGCCAAUUAGUUGGCUCACAAACAUGGACCGUGGUGAAGAAAGGGUUAGAUAACCAGUCUUGAAAUCUUGAGAGAGGUCGGAGGCUGUGGAGACGAUAUUCAUCAUGACUCCACAGGCCGCUAGUCCUGCAAGAACUCCACCAUGAGAGCCACCAGCCCAUGCUCCAAUUACAAAAAUUGCAAGCUUGCCAUAGGUGGAAGCAAGAGACCAGUCAGUGUGGCCACAGCCAUAAGCAUUACAGAAUGCAAGGGCUGGCCCAAAGAUCGAUGUAGAUAACCAAUAUAUAAUACCAUUUGAGUUCGGGAAAUAUAUACGGUAGCGUGGCCGUGGAGAUAGCAGCUAUUGCGACAUAGCCUGCAACAGCAAACCAUGUUGGAAUUUGAUCUUUGAGAAAGAGGUGGGUGCGACGUUGCUCAUCAUAGGAGAUCCUGGAUGUCUCGGGAGAGGAACGGUCAGCAACAGGCAGAGCACCAGUUGCAUCUCUCCCACGAAGUUGAAAAAACAAUGCAGCGAGUGUUCGGCUUAGAACCUUGAAGAAGUUGUACAGACCGUCACCCAAGAUCAAGGCAGUGGCAAUAAAUACCUGUGUUCAUUGCAUAAGCGUUGGUAUGAAAGAAAAGGCUUCAAGAAAAUGUUAAAAAUCAUGUAAGGGGCAUUCUUGUCACCUUAACCUUGUUAGAAAACUUACCUUGUAACCUUGGAGGCCAUUUAGGCUGUCUGGUUUGAGGUCUGCUGGAUACCAGUCACCCUUUUUUGUGUCUAUGAGAGGCCACAUGAGACCCCAGGAAAGAAGUCCUCCAAGCAAUACUGAUAUGUUUAUGAUGUAUGGGCAAAUCAUUCCAACUCCAACAUAUGUUGCUGAGAAAUCAAAGAAAAAGCAGUACAUGUAACAAGAACAUUAUUAGUCAAAGAUACCACAACGAAUUUGAAACAGAAUGCCAUAACCAAUGGAACUACAUUCAACAUGAAGAGAGGAUUUUGGAAGGUUGAAUAAUGCUUUUACUUGUUUUCAUAUGCUUUAAGCCCGAGUGAGGGGAACUCAGCAAAUCCACAACCAUCUCCUGCAGUGUAGAACCACUGAAAGAAACCUCAUAACAAGCUGAAUGAUAAGAACUUGCCCAACGCUUUCACUUGUUUUCUGAAACGGUAGAAAGAAAAAAGUUUGAUACUUUUACAUGCCGAAUGAUCAUCCAACUAUAUGUGCAUGAGGUCUGAUAAUGCCUUACUUUGCUAGCUUGGCUCCUGCAGGAGUGUGGAAGCUGUUGAUGAGAUGAGCAGUAGCAGUGCCACUUGGAUAUGUCAAUUUGAAGUCUAUAAUCAUGAUCUGGAAAUAAUAACCAGGGUAACAAUGAAGAUUAGAUUUUGGCAAAUUCAAUACAUUCAAAAAGAAAUCAAAAUGCAGAGAGAAGUUUUCUAUUUCCUAUACGAAAUUGAAUGGCGAUAUAGCGUUGUGAAGUCUCUACCUUUCGAAGAGGCACCACUGAAAAGAGUCCAAGAAAGCUAACAACAAAGAGAAAGCCAAUCAUCCAUGACAGAGAUGGGUUCUUAAAGGCAACACUAUCUUCCGUUGAUUGUUUGGCCACAGUUUCGCUCAUUCCUAACAAAUAACUCCCAAAGCCUCCUAUUAUAAGGAAACAAGAAACAAAUUAUAGGAUGGAAACCGUUAGUACAAAAAAAAUCAACAUGCUUAAUUUCAUCUUUAGCAUAAUCACAAAUUACUUCUUUCAUUACAACAAUUUCAGUUUCGAAAGCUCUUGGAUGAUAAGUUGGAAAUGUAGUGUAUUCAUCUUGACAUCAUGCUAAUGAUUCUCAGUAAAUGAGCAAGCUUGGUAUACUAAAUUUUAUUAAAAAAUAAUAUAAAUUAUAUCCCUUUCCGUUCGUAUCUUCUGAUACAAGCAUAAGUCACCUUGAUGAAAUCUAGAUUAACAGUACAAACAAAUUAAUUAUUCAUAUUUUCUUUUCUGUUACCAACGGGGAGGACUUCUUUUUCCACUAAUCAGAAUAUUCUUACAAGACUUGUAUAACUUUGAAGUAAGCAAAUCAUUCAUAUCCAGCUCAUAUAUAUGAAUUGAAUGGUCAAAAAAGUAUCUGUCUAGAGACAUCUGCCAGCGACACUUUAUGCCUCGUGGAGGACCAUAAGAAAAAUAAAAAGCAGCCCCACCACCAUUAUCACACUUCAUGAGACAGGGAAAGGCUAGUAAAGAAAAUUUACAGACCAGUUGAUUUAACUUUUUUACUAAAGUAUAUUUGUUCAUGUCUCAAACAGCAAGUUGAAGUGUUGAUUACUUUAGUAAAACUUCACAAGUGGCUGAAGCAAUACCAGAACUGGUAGUCAUAAUUAAAACCUCAAUUUUGAUUUGUCUCCCAAAGACUUUAGGCAGUAAUGACUUAAUUCUUGUCUUCAAGGAUCAUGUAAAUCUACUCACAGUACGUAUCUGAGAUAAAAGGGAUCGAGAGAGAAACUUACAGUAGUUACUAAAACUCAGUUUCAAGAUUUGCUUCUUCUAAUUGCUAUAUUACAUGACAAGGAACAGAAACAAAACCAAAUGCACAUAAAUUUUAAUAUCUUGAUCAAACCAUGGUUAUUUAAUUUAUCAACUGGUCUGACAAAUACUUUUUUUUUUCGUACUGGUCUGUAAAUUUUCUUUACUACUCCAUGGUUUGACAAAUACUUUUUUUUUUCGUUAUGGGGUCCAUGGUUUAUCCUUGUAUUAGCCAAGAAGGAAGGCAUGGCUAUUUAAUUUAUCCAUGGUAAUUAUUUAUGUGUCCUCCUUCGCCGGUUUAGGUUACUUGUUAGCUAUUGCCAUGUUUUCUUUUCCCAUGCUUUUUGGCAUUUGUACCCAUUAAUUAUUCACCUUGCUUUGAUUUGCCAAUGUUAUGCUAUUAAUAAAGUUUCUUCACUAAUUGUGUAUUAAUAUAUACUUUUAUUCUUUUGAGAAGUCGACAUAUAUACUUCAAUGCAUGGUUGGUUAUUAAUAUCGUCAUACAUAUAUUAGGAAUUGAAUCUUUAAGCAUUUAGUACAAACCCAGAGGCAAACCUUACUGUGAUAGCAAGAAUGGAUCCAACUCCAUAUCUUUGAUUUGCCAAUGAUAUCAUAGCCAGCAAAAAGAGCAAACCUGAUACCAAAUAUAGAAAUGUUAGCCGGGAUUUCACCACUGAACGAGUUGUUGCCAAGGAUCAGUGUCUGUAGCCGAAUUCCAAACGACCUACUUCUUGGGGGAUAGUAUUGGUGAAACUGUUGUUUUCCAAGCUUAGUAGCCUAAGAAAACUCAAGUUCCCAAUGGAGGGAGAUAGGCUGCCCACCAGUUGGCUGGAGUGUAGGUCAAGCUGUAUGACUCUUUCAUCGCGUCCUCCACAUGUUACUCCUGACCACUGGCAGAAGUGUAAGGAUUCAUUCCACGAGCUUAGUUUUUUAAGGGGAUCUGAGAUUUGAGCCUUGAAAGCUAGUAGCGAGAGCUUGUCUAUCUCGCUUCCUCCUCUAGCUAAUGAGAAGGAGAAAGAGUGUUGAAUUAUUUGAAAGGAAAGAAACCACAAUAUGAAUGAACUCAUGCUUGGAAGCUUCAGUUUCAAUGGGGUCUUACAGAUUUAAAUUGAGAUCAAAUGGCUUGCUGUCACAGUGUCAAAUGUGCACGAGGUGCACGCUUCGGCAGGCUGGCCAAAACAAGGCCUAAGGGUGCUGGCAGCCAUGCCAUCAGUGGGAGAAAUCGUCAGCGCAGAUUUAUGCGGUUGAAGGUUCGUCAAAGGGAAAAUCGGCAGCGCAGAUUGUUGACGAACAUGGGCUGGACGAGGGACUGUCCAAGCCAAGCAGGAAAACUCGUCAGGGGGAUAGGCUGACGAGAAUUGGGGCUAUCGCAGAAUUCGGCAGCAUAGACAGGGGCAGCCUGCACGCAGAUGCGAAUUCAGCAGCGCAGAGAUUGGCAGCACGCAUAUGCGAAUUCGGCAGCGCAUUGGCAGCCUGCCCGCAGAUGCGGAUUCGGCAGCGCGCAACAACUUGUGCAAGUCAGGGGCUCGACUUGGCACGAUCUAAAACUUGGGCAAAGGAUUGUCCAAGGCAUGGGCUAAGAGCUCUAGGCGCUGGGACGCGCCAACGAAGGCACACUGCCUAGAAUUCGGCAGCGAUGGAUCACGGCAGCCUUGCAUAGGCAGAGAUGAAUUCGGCAGGCAGCAUGCAACGGUCUAUGCGAGUCUUUGAGCUUGCGACUUGGCAUGGACGUGGGGGCUUAGAUGAUGGACCUUCUAAGUCAGCAGCUGACACAGCAGAAGGUGGCAGCUGGGGCUGCCAAGUAGACAGCCAGGAAAUGGGGGAAGUGGCAGCUUCAUGGGAGGCAGAACGUGGGAGCAUAACUGGGGUGCUGUCCGGGCCACUAUGUCCUGAAAACAUGGGAUCAUGGGUGAGAGGUAGUGCUCCACCAUGUCCUGAAAACAUGGGAUCAUGGGAGAGAGGUAGUGCUCCACUAGGUCCCGAAAAUGGGGGAUAAUGGGGAGGAGCCUUUGCAGCUCCUUUGCUUGUCUAUAAAUACAAGAUGUAGCUCUUGGUUGUGGGAGGAGCAUUCGGGUGGGAAUGUUCAGAUUGUAAGGGCAUUCGGUUGGGAAUGUCCAGCAUGUAGGGGCAUGCAAGAACAUGUGUAGAACACUAGUUAGAUGUAGCUUGGUGUAGCAUGUAAUCUUUGUGCAUAGCACACAUACGGAUUUGUGUAUAGUUUCCUUUGUGUAUGAGAUUAAUAAAGGUUGGGAAAGAGUUCCUGUAAAGCUUGUUGUGCACUAUGAUUCUUAUCCUUGCUUGUGUAUUCCGCUUGCUUAGUAAUUAGGCAAACACGAGUGAGAUUGGUGAGGGAAGGCUGAGUCUAGUGAGGGACUAGGCUGCCGCACGGGUUUAUUCGCGUAGCGAAAAAUACCCCCGUGACAAUUGGUAUCAGAGCGCGGUUGCUUUCGUGGCAGGAUGACGAGAAUAAUUCUGUGGCCAAAUCAACGGACUGAUUUGGGAGAGCUACUGCUUCUGCCGAUGGAGAAGCAGAUUUCAGCGCAAUGAUCAGCGACGAGAAUGCUGAUGUUUCUCGGGACAAAUCGAAGGGACUGAUUUGGGAGAAACAUUGCUGCUGCUGAUGGACUGGCAGAAACUUUGGAGCAAGAGCGCAAUAUGCGUUCAUGACGAAACGAUGGGCUGUUUCGUAGCACAGACGAUGGGCUGUUCUGUGGGGGCAACUCGAAGGGCGGAUUUGUUCCAAGCCAUUUGAGGAAAAACUUGCUAGCGUUUUGGGCAGUGUUGGUGUUCAAAAGGCCUGCGGAGUUUUGGGGGUUUAACUACUCCAUGGGUGACGCAAAGUGAUGAUAAAGGGAUCAGCUCAAAAUGGGUGCUGAUUCGGCCAUGGAAACUGUCAGGUGGACUGGCAGACUUGAGAGCAGGGGCCAGCGGAGGGGCUUCUGGGCGCUUCUGUAUUUUCAUCAAAGCCUUAAGAGAAGGAUGGGGCGAGACAGAAGAAGAAGCAAGUCAAUGUGGAGAGCCUAAACUUGUUGCUGCUGAUGAUGGAUAGUCAGACGAGAAGGCAAAUCGGUAAGGGUUCGAAACUGAAAUUUGCAUUGUUGUUCUCUUGUGAUGGAAAUUACUUUGUGCGAGAUUGUUGCCCAAGGAGAGGAAACCUUGAUGUUGCCAGUGUGGAAGAUGGUGUUUGAGAUUAGGCAUAUGUAAACCUUAUACGUUUGCUAGAUGACCGAGAUGGAAUUCAGUCAUCAUGAGCCAGCAUAUCGGGGUGGAUGCAGUCUGGCCUUGCUUGCUGCCUUGGUGGCAGAACUUAGGGAUUGUUGUGCAUCUCAAGAAAGGAAUGUUCAGGGAGGUGGAAGAAAAAUCCAGAGAAGACCAAGUUGAGGGCAGACAAAUCUACAAGGAUUUGUUGUGGCUUUGCUGCCUUUGUGGAGGCAGAGUUGAUGUCUUCGGUGGAGACCUUGAUGAUGGACAGUUCAGGGUGAAGAAGACAGAACAGUGGCUGAGAUAGACUUUAGUCACGUUGAGACCAGGAUUGGAGGCGUUACAGAGGAGGCAGUACCGUGGGGGUGUGUCUCAAGGAGUCUGCACGUUGUCGAGGGACAGACUGGGUGACGGAUUCGGCAGCCGCUCCAGUGAGCUUGGCGUGGAAGCCAAAAUCGUCGACGAAGAUGAUUUUGUGUGCUGUCUUGGAAUCAGUACGAGCGGAUAUUCUGUGCAUUGCGAUGGUUGCAGUGAUGGAAGCAGAAUGCUAAUGACCUUUGUUGGGACAAAGUGUUGUGAGUUUUCGGCAGACAAAACAUGCAGCGAAGGUUGAAAACAGUAGGGGCUGCUUUGCGUCAGCGAAAACUUGUGUAACUGACGAAGUUUCUAGGGCAUGACAGUAGCGCAUGGGGGAACCAGGUCAGACGAAACUUGAUGCUGGGAUGCUAUGUUUUGUGCUAUGGCAGGUUAGAGAUGGACUUAGAGGGACUUGCCGAAAGACUUCGACAUGAGAUGAAGUUGAUCAUCGAAACUGAGUGGGUGCUAGGUUCAACAGCACUGUCUCAUUCUUAUUUCUUGCAGGUGGAGAACCUAAAAGGGCUGAUGGCAAUGGGAAGUCAGAAGCCAAGGGCAAGGAAAAGGUUUCGGAAUCAUGUUUGGGCUGUUUGAUUUGUGAGGGGAAGCACUUCACAAGGGACUGCCCAUUGAAGAGCACAGCUGAGUGCUACUUCCGUGGAGAAGGAUGGAGAGGGAACGACAUACGUAAAUCCUAUACGUGUGCUCAACACUAAGUAAAGAGUUAGUGUGAAGGGGCCAGCGUAGUUGAUGAAGACUUAGGCGUGGCCAAACUGCCUUGUGCGAGGCAGAUUCGGGGGAGUUUCAUAACUUUGACGAUGGACAGAUCAUGGUUUAACUCUAGGCGUGAGAAUGCGCCAACGAAAAACACACUGCAUAGGAUUCGGCAGCGAUGAACAGCAGCAGCCUUGCAUGGGCAGAGGUGAAUUCGGCAGGAUGUGUUGGUUGUGGAGAAGCGAGAUAAGUAAGCAAUAUUGGUAAUACUUGCAGUUUUGGGGCACGCAGAACGGUUGGAGAACUAGAUGUUUGUAUGGGAGCUCAUGUGGUUCUUCGAAGUGAUUUUGUGUGGAUGUAUUUUGUAAAGGAAGGGACGGAUUCCUUGGGUGUUAGGCGUGGCAUCUAAACUUUGCGAAAACAUGCUUGCAAGUAUGAUGUGUUUGACAUUUGUGGAAAACUAACGAGCCAAAACAGAAUGUGUCACAACUUGGUUUUUUGAAACAGGUUGACAAAGAUUCGGUGGACUGAAUUUGUUGUUGAAUGUGGGAAAAGCUAAGAGGUUUCGUGCGGAGAAACAUGGAUUGUGACGAGGAACAGAUGCAGUGCAAGGGUACUUCAAAUCUGUCCGACGAGGGCGUCGGGUUCUUUUGGUGGGGGUGGUUUGUCACAGUGUCAAAUGUGCACGAGGUGCACGCUUCGGCAGGCUGGCCAAAACAAGGCCUAAGGGUGCUGGCAGCCAUGCCAUCAGUGGGAGAAAUCGUCAGCGCAGAUUUAUGCGGUUGAAGGUUCGUCAAAGGGAAAAUCGGCAGCGCAGAUUGUUGACGAACAUGGGCUGGACGAGGGACUGUCCAAGCCAAGCAGGAAAACUCGUCAGGGGGAUAGGCUGACGAGAAUUAGGGCUAUCGCAGAAUUCGACAGCGUAGACAGGGGCAGCCUGCACGCAGAUGCGAAUUCGGCAGCGCAGAUAUUGGCAGCACGCAUAUGCGAAUUCGGCAACGCAUUGGCAGCCUGCCCGCAGAUGCGGAUUCGGCAGCGCGCAACAACUUGUGCAAGUCAGGGGCUCGACUUGGCACGAUCUAAAACUUGGGCGAAGGAUUGUCCAAGGCAUGGGCUAAGAGCUCUAGGCGCUGGGACGCGCCAACGAAGGCACACUGCCUAGAAUUCGGCAGCGAUGGAUCGCGGCAGCCUUGCAUAGGCAGAGAUGAAUUCGGCAAGCAGCAUGCAACGGUCUAUGCGAGUCUUUGAGCUUGCGACUUGGCAUGGACGUGGGGGCUUAGAUGAUGGACCUUCUAAGUCAGCAGCUGACACAGCAGAAGGUGGCAGCUGGGGCUGCCAAGUAGACAGCCAGGAAAUGGGGGAAGUGGCAGCUUCAUGGGAGGCAGAACGUGGGAGCAUAACUGGGGUGCUGUCCGGGCCACUAUGUCCUGAAAACAUGGGAUCAUGGGUGAGAGGUAGUGCUCCACCAUGUCCUGAAAACAUGGGAUCAUGGGAGAGAGGUAGUGCUCCACUAGGUCCCGAAAAUGGGGGAUAAUGGGGAGGAGCCUUUGCAGCUCCUUUGCUUGUCUAUAAAUACAAGAUGUAGCUCUUGGUUGUGGGAGGAGCAUUCGGGUGGGAAUGUUCAGAUUGUAAGGGCAUUCGGUUGGGAAUGUCCAGCAUGUAGGGGCAUGCAAGAACAUGUGUAGAACACUAGUUAGAUGUAGCUUGGUGUAGCAUGUAAUCUUUGUGCAUAGCACACAUACGGAUUUGUGUAUAGUUUCCUUUGUGUAUGAGAUUAAUAAAGGUUGGGAAAGAGUUCCUGUAAAGCUUGUUGUGCACUAUGAUUCUUAUCCUUGCUUGUGUAUUCCGCUUGCUUAGUAAUUAGGCAAACACGAGUGAGAUUGGUGAGGGAAGGCUGAGUCUAGUGAGGGACUAGGCUGCCGCACGGGUUUAUUCGCGUAGCGAAAAAUACCCCCGUGACACUUGUUGUGAUGCUCUAUGGAUCAAACAUUAAAUAGGAAAGUAAGGAAUAUUCCUUACAUCCUUAAGAUGCUUUCAGACUCAGCGAGAACCUUUUUCAGAUUCAUCAACCAACAUUUGAUCCCCACAUUGGUUUUAAGUCAACUAAGGUUUAAUUGGUUCAAGAAAAUUAAUGUUCAAGAGUUUCCAUUUUCACAACCCCUUGAAGACGUUUUCGAACGUCAGACAUGAUAUCGAAAUGGAUUGUCACCCGUCAAUCUCGCGGAGAAGUUAGUGACUUUUUGUUUGUUUAUUUUGAAGAAGCUUCACCUAGUAUUUAAUUUAAUUUAAUUAAAAAUUACUAAUAAAUCCAAAAAUUUACUAAGAAAUCCAAAUGUAUUUAUCGAUGUCAAAGAUUUUUAGAAUAAAAAAUUGAUUGUGACUAAAAAAAAUUCCUAACAUACCCUAUCUAAAAAAAAUUACUUUACAUUUUAAUAUAAUUUAAAAAUUUAAAAUAUUAACCAAAUUCUUAAGGUUUUAAUAAAUUAAUUUUUCUUACAUUUUCAUAGAAAAAAUAAAAUAAUUUUAUUUAUUCUUUAAAUAUUUAACCAUAUUCAAAUUAAACACUUAAUCCUUUUUUAUCUUUUUAGUUUUUAUAAUUAAAUAACAUAAAUAAAAAUACAAACACACAGUCACCUCUUUUCUUAUUAUUAUUUUUCUUAUACAUCCCUUUUUACAUGUAAAACAAAUAACAAAAAUUCAAACUAAAUCAAAUACAAUUCAAAAAUUACAAAACAAAAACCCAAAAAUCUACAGUAAUUGCAGGGAAGGCCCGGAACAGUGCUGGAAGGUUUCUGGGCGCGGGAACAGUGGCGGCGCGUGGGUUCACGCGGCGCCGCAGGAAAGUCCAACAAGCAGGGGGCUCUGGAACGGUUUCCUCCUCUCUUCUCUUCCCUGCCCGUGGUGGCUUUCACCGUGACCUGCAACGAAAGAAAACGCACAAGCAGUCGGUUUUAUUUUGUUUUCUAGAUCUGUCCAGUUCCUCCGCCUUCUCCCUUCUCUGUUGGUUUUCCUUCUGCCGAUGGCCGAUCUGGUGGCUGGGAGUGCUUCUUCUUCUUCUCCUCCGCUUCAGGUGGCUGGCGGUGAAGAGGAACGACCGAGAAGGGGGCGUCGCUGCUGGACCUGUUCGGCCGCCGCUGGGGGCUGUGGAGGAGAUAUGAAUGAACGCAGCGUGUUGAUGGCUAGGAGAGGGACGAUGUGGCUGAGGGGAGAAGGGAGGAUCUUUUGCCGGGAAGGGGAAGAUCCGCAAGGUCUGGCCGGGGCAGGAGCCAGAACGGGAGUGGUGGCUCUGGUGAGGUCAAGAGGGAAGAUGACGGGGAGAUGGGGGAAAUGGUUAGAGACCAGCUGCUUUGGUCAAGGGAGGGGCCAUGCUUUGGAGUUCUGGUUCUGUUUUUAUGGGUAUGGAGAGGGAAAUCAAAUGAGGCCCGGGGCUUGUGUGGUGAGCUGGGGAAGAAAUGGUUGUGGGAGCAAAAAUCCCGAAGCUCUCGUUCGGGUCAGGGAGUUCUGGUUCUCUCUUUUGCCAGGAGGCGGCGGUUGUAGCUUGGAGAGAGAGGGUUUGUGGUCGGCUGAAUUUUUCUUCCGCCAAGAAAAUGGAGGGGGUGGCCUUUCUUUUUUGGCAGAGAUGGCUCUCUGGUUCUCUUUGGCCAAGUUUCAGGGAGGCAGCUCAGAUGGCCAUAGGGGGGCGGCGGCUUGUGCUCUCUGUCAAAAGGAGAGGUUUUUUUUACUCUUUUUUUUUUUUUUUCUUCGUCAAAAUGAAGUUUACUGUAGAAUAGUAUAUAUAGUUUCAAACUAUUCCCUCAAUUUGUUUUUUCUUUAUUUUUGUAAAUUUUGAUUUUCCUUUUUUUUUUAAUUUUUAGUAUUAAAAUUUUUUUAUCAAAAAUAUAGUCAAUGCAUAACAACAACAAGGGUACAAUUUUCGAAGUCGAUAAGAAGGUUCCUUCUUGUUGUUUUGUUUUUCCCCUCUUAAAGACUAUUCUUUCUUCAUCGUGGAAAUUAAAGUCCAACACAUGACAAUGUUUCACGUGCGACACUAACAAUCCGAUCAUUUUACUUGCUUGUUAUUUUAAUUCCUUGGAAUCAGCAAAUGGACGAAAAAAGUCAGAGUGUUGCGUGCUCACAAGUAAUAACCAUUCAUUUUCAAAGUCAAGACACGCGUGUUCAAAUCAUCAUUCAUUUUCCAAGUCAAGACUGUAUGAGAAAGGAUUUAUAAAUUCCACAACGAAUAAAUAAAACCUCUCUCCCAGUAAUUGCUUUUUUUUUUUUUUUGUUAUUUCAAAAGUAUAUUCAAUCAUUGCCAAGCAUAGCGGGCCACAUCAUCUGACACCGCUCCCUGUAAAGUCAAAUCCAAGCAUCCGUAAAUGUUGAAUACUUUUCCAAUUCCAAUUCAACAUAUCGUGUCUCAUAUAUAUAUAUAUAUAUAUAUAUAUAUAUAUAUAUAUAUAUAUCAGCUCGCUAACCCUCUCCAUCUUUACAAUCACCCAUCUCGCACACUAGCUCUCUCUCUACACAUACCAAGACAUACAUUUGAUUCCCAAAAAAUCUCAGGUUUCCUUCGUGUCAGAAAUGGGGUCUAAAGGAGAGGCUCGAUACUUGACAAUAAUAGUACUCCUUGUUACCAUUAUUUUGUUAUCAUGUUCUAACCUACCUGUGAUAGAGGGGCAACGAUCUCGAUGCACAUAUGACCCCAAAGAUGGUAAGUGCAAAUUCGGUGAACCAGCUGCAGCUCAAAGGUUUGAUGGGGGGGGGAGUUAGGAGAGGUGGUUUGACCUAAUCGUAUGAUGAAUGAGUAAUCGUUUAUCCUUGUAUUAGCCAAGAAGGCAUGCAUGGCUACUUAAUUUAUCCAUGGUCAUUAUUUAUGUGUCCUCCUUCGCUAGCUGGUUUAGGUUACUAAUUAUACUAGCUAUUGCCAUGUUUUCUUUUCCCAUGCUUUUUGGCAUUUGUACCCAUUAAUUCUUUCACCUUGCUUUGAUUUGCCAAUGUUAUGCUAUUAAUAAAGUUUCUUCACUUAUCUAAAAGAAAAAAAACCUAGCUAAUUGUGUAUUUAUACUUUUUUUUUUUUUUGAGAAGUCGACAUAUAUACUUCAAUGCAUGGUUGGUUAUUAAUAUCGUCAUACAUGUAUUAGGAAUUGAAUCUUUAAGCAUUUAGUACAAACCCAGAGGCCAGCACAUUAAUUUGUUGUGUAUUUUGGUUUUGGGCAUCCCAAAAUGCUUUUUUCCUCAUACCUUUCAAAGAAAUGGCUACGCAUCCCCUCUUGCGAGAGAGGUCCACGAGAUAGAUUGAACUAUUUUAUCAUUGGAAUUAAAAAAAAAUAUGGAUUUUACAUUUUGGGUCAAAUCAAAUUGUGUAUACUAAUAAAAUAUAUAUAUAUAUAUAUAUUAAAAAAUAAUAUAAAUAAUAUUUUAAAAUUUUAUUUAACAACUUAAGUUUAUAUUAACAUCAAUUAAAUAUCUAGAUGACAUAAGGUAUUAAAUUAGUCAUCUAAGAUUAGACGUGCAUAACAAGAAAAUUCAUCUCUAUAUAUGAUAGUGACUCAGGGACAAAUUUGUUCUCACAUUGGAUUUAAAGACGAAACUCAUCUCCCUUUAAGGAAAAUUCAUGGUGACUAAUUUCAUUCCUUAUUUAAGGAAAUAAAAACUAAUUUCAUAUCCAAAUUAAGUCUUUAAUCCUAGUGAUUAGAAUUUCAAAUCUUAUCACUCUUGUUCUUUUUAAUUAGAUUAAAAAUUAUUAGCAAGAUAGUAAUAGCCCUUAUUCUCUCUAAUUAAAUUAAAAAAUAAAUAUAAGAUAUAUAUCCAUAAGAUAUGUAAAUUUGUACUUGAAGAAGUGUGCCAAAAAAUUAUAUCGUAAAUUCUUUCCUGAAAAAUAGCCUACAAGGAAGUUUAAAUACAAAAAAUAUUAUAUAUGCUUAUUAGUAAAAUCCUAAUUAAAUUUUAAAUUCUAAUCUAAAUAGGGAGAACAAUCCAAAAACAAUAAGAAAAAUAAAGACAAUCUUAAGCAAUAACUUUUAGACUAAAUUUAGCAUGUUCAUGAACUUAGAUGAAGUUGUCUUACUAAUCAUUUAAGGAAUAAGGCCUUUAGAAUGUUUUGAAAAAAAAUUUAGUUCAACUCAAUGGUCGGAUGAUAAGUUAUACUUAUUUUUAUUAUAUUAUCCAUUGGACUCAUUCGAAACUCCUCAAAAUCUAAAAAAAUUUAACAAUGAAAAAAAUAAAGAAAUAAAACAAAUUAUGCUAAGGAUAAUAAAUAUAGUGCCCUACUUUAUUCAUCUCACUUAUAAAAAAAAACUUGCUUUUGAUUUAAGUGUUAGAAACUGAACUCUUCCAUUCUAAAAACAUAGAUACUUUGAAUAUAGCUUUAUAGUGCAUACUCCCUAAGUAUAAUGUCUUUGAUUCGUGAGUUUCAAAUUCUAAUUUAUGAUGUAAGCAAGCUAAAGAAGGAUCCAUAUCAAAUAUUACACCUUUUGUUGUUGUAAAGUUCACUAAUAGUAGUUCACUGGUAGUUCCUUCACACAUUUUUAUACUUUAAACAUGAUCUUUGUUGUAAAAAACCUGCAGCAAUUAUUGAUGAAUAUUGUAAAAGGAUAAAAACUAGAAAGAACACAAGAUUUAAUGUGAUUCGACUAUGUGUCUACAUCCACAUGAGCGAUGAUCUUUUAUUUUUCACCAUAUGUCAAAUAGGAUUACAUAAUAUGUAUCUAUAGUAUACCCUAAACCGCUUAAGGGUCUAACCGCCUAAGAGAUAUUAUAAUUUUUUUAAUAAUACUCAUUUACCAUAUCAUGGAGGCAUUGCCCCACACCCUAAUCUAUCAAUCAUUCUUAAUAACAAAAUAGAAAAUAAAUCAUAACAUGAUUGUCAUAACCCAAUUAUGGGUUAUUCCCCAAAAAUUAAUUUUUUUUUCAAAAUAAAAAUCAAAAAAUAAAAUAAAGACUGGCAACGUGGAGAAAGCAGACUGGGAAAUCAAGCUGUAAUUUUUAAAAGAAAUUCAAGGCUAAUUGUACCCCAUUGUGCCCAAAAAUGGAGGAAAAAUAUGCAAAUUCAAGGUUAAAUUAAAUGAUUAUUGGACGAAUUUGCAUAAAAAUUAAGUUCAAUGACAUAAUUAAAUUUUUAUAGGCCAAUUUGAUUUAAUCAUUGGCCAAAUUGAAUUUCAAUUAUGUUUAAGAAUUAAUUUGGGUCCAAUUAAAGGAUUUAAUUAAGUGCAAGGACUUAAUUAUACUUUAAAUGGGUCAAAUUAAUUUUAUUUGGGGCUUAAUUGAUGAAAAAUUAAGUUUGGAAGCCUAAUUUGGGCUUAAUUGAGAAGAUUGGAAUUUUAAGAGACUAAAAUUAAUUUUUACCAAGUUAAUUGAUUGAAAUUAGGGGUUAAAUUGCAAGAAAAUUGAAGUUUUGGGGUCAAUUAGGGGUUAAAUUACAUAAAUUCGAGACCAUGGACUAUAUUACAAAAGUCGAGGCUCAAAUAGUAAUUCAUCAUGGGCUUAAUUGCAAAAGUUUAGGGUCAAUUAGGGGUUUUAUUGAAAGAAAUUGAAAGAGGAAGGACUGAAAUGAACUUUGGCCAAAAAUAGAUUCUGGUACUAUUCAUCUUUUUCUUUAAUUCUCUGAAAUAGUUGGUCUGGUUACCUACUUUACAGCUGCAUUUAAUGUACCUAACGUCCACCAAAUUUGCCCAAACUUGCACGAAACUAAUCACCAGACAUCUCUCUACAUCUGGGUAUGGUCUUCACCGGCUCACUAGCAAAGAAACGGACGUUAUGCCUACUUUGAGCCAACGGUUGGGUUCCUUCCCAUCUGAAUCAAGGGCUGAAAUUUUUCUCCAGUAUAGAUAAGAUUGCCCUCUUCCACCGCCUAUAAAUAGAGGUGGAUUUGAUGGCCUGAAGAAGGAGAAAAUCGGGUCCAAAAUAAGCUAAAAAAUCAGCCUCUUCCUGGUUUCUGUCACUCUCUCUGUUUUUCUGUCUUUCUUUCUCUCUCCACCGUGUCUUCAGCUGUUGAAGACCCCACAGAAAAUUUUCUCCUCCACCAACAGAUGGCUGCUCAGCCUCUCCACGAGCCCAAAUCCUCACCGGCGAUAGGGGCAGCCACUGCGAGGUUCUCUUUCUCCCCGCUGCAGAUUUUCUUCUUCUGCUUCUUCUUCUUUCUUCCUCCGUCAUUGAACACCGUGUCUUCAGUAGUUUAACACCCCCACAUAAACCUUUCUGCUACACCAACAUACGGUUCUUUAGUGUUAGAGAAGCCACUGCGUCUCUCUCCUCUCCUUCCUCUCCUCCUUCUCCCCUCUGUAAAUUUCUUCAUUUUCUUCCUCUUCCAGCUGCAGCCACUCCAGCCAACUUAGGCAGCCACCUCCACCGCCGUUUCCACCACCGGUUUCAGGUCGUCCUCCCAGCCAGCCAUCACCGCCACGCCAGGUGGUCCGCCUCCCUUGCUUCGCCUUCGUCUCCCCGUUCCACUGUUUUGAACAGUGGAUCGUGAAUUAUAAUUUACGUCCACAGUUCCAGUGGAAUAUAUAUAUAUAUAUAUAAAAUCAAAAAUCUUUUAAAAAAAUUGUGAUUUUCAAAAAUAUUUUUCCAACAAUUUUUCAUAAUAUUGGGUUAUAUGUUUACACUGUAAAAUACAAAUCCAAUAUUAAAAUACUCGGUUUUCUCCAAAAUAUUUCAAAAAAAAUAAAACAUUUCAAAACAUUUGCAAAAAAGAAAAAAAAUAUUUUGUUGCAUACGACCAAAUCCUGAAAUUUUUCCAAGCAUAUUUUUCAUAAAAAAACAAAAAUUGCAUCUUUUUCAUGUUUUAAAAAAAUCCAAAAAUGGAUAUCGUAACCAGUUUAUGAUUAUCCAUUAAGAUUUGGCCAACAUGUCAAAAAUCUUUUUCCCAUCUUUUUUUAGGAUCUAGAUGUAGACUUUAAUAUUUUUGGAGUGUAAAAUUACACGAUAAAGUACACCCUCAGGUAUUAAAGAUACAAGGUAUAUAAAUGCGAUGCUAAAAUUCAGACCUUAGAACGAUUAUGAUUUAACCCGAUAAGGUAGAGACUCUCUCAUGAAGAGAAAUCUGCCUUGAGUCUUAGAAAAGACCAACGAAUAGAAACCCGACUUAGAAAAAACAAUCAAACAACAAUGCAACUUACUUUAGGUAGGUGCACUGGGGGUGAUGUGUCUUCCCCUUACACAACCAGUCCCUUACUCAGACUCUCACAGACCAUAGGUUCCUAGUAACCAUAAUACUUGGUGGCGACUCCUAAACAGUAAUCAUAAUUUUAUGAUUAAAUCCAAAAAUCCUUCCCAACACACAACACCUCACACAGGAGGCACGACAAAGAGCCUCCGCCGUCGCCUGACGACGUCGCCCCGCAACAAUGAUAGAUACCAUCAUUCCACUUAGUCUAGUAUUUGUCUAUACGAACUACAAACUACUUGUUAUUAUUCAUUUUUGGGUCCCCGCACAAAAAAAAAAAACAUUAUCUGAAGAAAACCAAAAAACAGAUAGCAGUGAGAAGAAGACAUAAGAACAGCCAGAAAAUAGCUAAAGAUUGGUUGAGGAAGUUCAAAAAUACAAAGAUUGAAAUUUGACAGUAUAUUUUUUAUCUGUGAAGACUUUAUUUACAAAGAAAAUUCAACUUGAUGAAAAAAAGUUCAAAAUCAGAUGUUUAAGGACUUAAAUAGAUUUUAUUGAAAGAUUAAUUGAGUUUGUAAAGGGUCUGAUUGCAAGAAAAAUUUAUUUUUAAGUCAAUUUUGACUUUAAUUAGAAAAAAAUUAAAGUAUGGGGGUCAAAUUAUAAUUCUUAAGAGUUAAUUUGGUCAAAUCAGGGGCUUAAUUGCAUAAAUAUUGAAGUUUGAUGGGCAACUAAGGACCUGAUUGAAGAAAUCCAAAACCGAGGACCCAACUAGAAAAGGCUCGUAAAUGUAGGGGCUAGAAUUGACCGAAUCAGGGGCUAAAUUGAAGAAAUUGAAAGUUUGUUGAUCAAUCAAGGGUUAAAAUACACAAAUUCAAAACCAAUAACUAAAGUGAAAAGGGCAUCUAACAUCAAGGUUGAUAUUUGAAUUUGACAGGGAUGCAAUUGAAUUUAUUCUUAAAAUCAAAAUUGUAAUUGAGGACUUGAUUGAAUAAAAAAAAAUUAAGGACUGAUUUGAAAAUUGACAUGUUUUGACACUAUUUUAAUUUAAAUGAAAUGAUGCGUUUUGUAAAAAAACGACGUCGUUUUAUUCAUUGUUCAUAUAUAUAUAUAUAUAUAUAUAUAUAUAAAGCCCAAAACGGUGUUGUUUUGAACGACACUGUGUAUCUUCUUCUUCCCCUAACGCACAAAGGCAGGGGAAGAAGGUUUUUCUUCCAUUCCUUUGCAGCGUCUAUCUCUCCCUCUCUCCCCCUCCCCUUACCCAAAAACCAUGACUCCACCCAUAUGCCCUCACGGCCUACCACCAUGAUGAAAGAGGCAGAGGGGAAAAGUACUACGAGCUGCUCUAGGACGACUACACAGAGACCACCCUAGCCACCAUACCUCUGCGCCAUGACUAGACAGGGGUAGUAGCUCUCUCUGCUAUCUUUCCCCCUUAUAAAUACCAUGGGACGAGAGAAAAAAACAGCGAGAUAAAGAGAUGAAAAGGGGAGGGAAGAGAGCAAAAAAAACAGAAGAGAAACAAAAAGAAAUAGGGGAGAACAAAGGAAGGAAAAGGGAGAGAAACAAAAACAAAAAAACAUAGAAAAAAAGAAAGAACAGGAGAGACAAGAACUAGAGAAGAAAACAAAAGAGAACAAAAAAAAUAGAGAACAAGAGAGGAACAAAAAAAAAAGGAAAGAGAGGAAUUCCAUGCCCCUGUACAGAGAAGAAAAAACCGCAACAGCAACCACCGUUUUUUCUCCCCACCGUCGCCUGCUUUCCUUGUCACCAUUAUUAGCACCGCCGCGAAGCCACCGCCAGGUCAACCUCUUCUCCUUCUCUUUUUUCUUCUUCUCCUUCGGUCACCCUCCACUAUUUUGCAAGUGAAUAGUGGAGAGUGAAUUAUAAUUUAUUUUCUACUAUUCACUUACAGAACAGUAAAGAGUCUCUCUACUGUUUAUUAGGUCGAACCAGUUCCGUCCCAGACCAAAAUGGUGGGGUCAGGUUCAGCCCAGUCCCAUAAAUAGAAAAGAAGUUUUGUUGGGCUGACAACGACCUAACCCCUAUUUUAGGCUGGUGUUGGCCCAACUCUUUUUGGCUGACUUUGGCCUAAUUUAUUUUGGGCUGAUCUCAUCUUAGACAGGAUGGGCUCCGCCCAUAUAAUUGGGCCGAGCCCAUCCCAAUAUAUUAUAAUAUAAUAAUUUAUAUAAUAUAAUAUUAUAUAUUAAUUGAAAACAAAAACAAAAAAUUCCAAAAAUCCUUUUAAAAAAAUUAUGAUUUUCUCUCGUAUUUUUAUAGCAAUUUUGAUUAAUAUUGGUUUUUAUUUUUAUACUGUAAAAAUAUAAAUCCGGUAUUAAAAUACUUGGUUUUCUAUGAAAUAUUGCAAAAAAAUAUAAAACAAUAUCAUGUUUUCACGCAUACGACCAAAUCUCUCAAAAAUAUAAAAAUUUUCAUAUUGUAUUUUCAAACCAUAACAAAAAUUCAAAAAAUAUGUAUUAAUAUGAUUUUUGAGCAUUAAUAACCAAUUUAUUAAAGCUAUGAGAAUUAGGUCAAUAUUUCAAAAAUACAAAAAAAAAUUAUUUUAUUUUCUUUUAAUAUCUAGGAUUACGAACUUAUACGUAAAAUGUAUUUUCAAUAUUAAAUAAGAGUUGGUUCUUUUUUUUUUGUUGAUAUUAGAACGGUUAGGUUUUUUCCGAUAAGAUAAAGAUUUCCUUACCGAGAAUGAUUUUUCUUAAACCUUAAACAAUCCAACCAUUAGAAAACACGACAAUACUCUAGUUAUAUCAGACAAUCAAACAAUACAGCUUACCUUAAGUAUGAUGUAUUUGGGGUGCUAUUGCAUUUUCUUUAUGCAACCAGUUCCCGUACCUGAUUUCUGAGACAAUUAAGGUUUCUAGUGACCAAAAUACUAAGUAGUGACUUUAAUUUGCUUUUUUUUGUUAUGUAUGGACACAAACUGGCUGUUGGUUGCCAUGUCAAACAUGGUUGCAUGGUGAAGAUCAAGAAUUGUUGCUGAAUAUUACAUAUAGUGGUAGGAGUAGCUGCUAUAAUUGACUAAAAUGGGGAUGAUUGUCUCCUAUAUCAGAUAUAAAUAGAGGGUGUUAAUAAGACCUGAGUGACACACGAAAAUAGAGAAAAACACGGGGAGAGAGAGAGAGCUAGAGAGAGUUGAGUUGAAUAGAGAAAAAUUUUCUACUCCUCCUUAUUUUAUUGUUUGUAUUGUUUCUAAGUUUGAUUAAUAUAAAAUAGUAACUCUGUGGAGGAGGCAGAUUGCUUAACUAAAUAAAUUGUGUAUUUGAUUUCUAAAAUUUUCUAAUAUUUUUUUAUUAUUAAAUAAUAAAAAUUUCUUAUCCUGUUUAUCUCUCGAUUUCUAAAUAUUAAAAAAAAACUUGACUCAGGAAAUGUACGAAAUAGUCACAGUUUUGCGUGCUCACAAGUCACAAGGUAAUCUACCUAUAAGCAACCAUUUUCAAAGUCAAGACACGCGUGUUCAUGUCAUCAUUCACAAUUCAGGAAAUGUACGAAAUAGUUUUUCUUGUAUUUUUUAAAAAUGAUCAAUAUUAAUAUCAAUUCAAUAAAAUUUAAAAAAUAAUAUGUGAAAAGUCGAACGCGUUUCAAAAACCUUUAAAAAUUUAAAUUCUUUUUUAAACGACAUUGAAAAUACUAAAAACGAUGCAAAUAUAUUAAAAACAUAUUUUUUUAGAUUUUCAUUAUUUUUCACUAUUUUUGAAUUUUUCAAAAAUUUUAUCAAAAAAAUGAAUAAAAAAUUAGGUAACAUCAAUACCUAUAACCAUUCAAUUUCAAAGUCAAGACACGCGUGUUCAUGAAGUAUACGUAUCAUCAUUCAUUUUCCAAGUCAAGACCGACUCUUGAAUUAAUUGUAUGAGAAAGGAUUUAUAAAUUCCACAACGAAUAAAUCAAACCUCUCUCCCAUUAAUUAAUUGCUUUUUUGUUAUUUCAAAAGUACUUUUUUUAAUUUUCAAUCCAAUCAGUCUUUUAAUUAUCUUUUGUCAAUUUUUACUCAGUCUUUUGUACUGUUUUGAUGUCUUAUAUCUAUUAUAUGUAUGAUAGUUUCUCAGUUUUUUUGGAUUUGGAAAAUUUUUCUAGGUCGCUGGAAGAACGACUCUGUGACCGUAUCCUUCAUGUAUCGAAUUUCCAGCACUUAUUUUACAUCAGCCACUUGCAGGUCAUGAGCCCCCUGCUCUUUUGCUUUCCGACGAAUAUAAUCUUUCAUUCAUCAAAAAAUCCAAAAGAAGAAGAAAUUAUAUUUACCUCAGCAAUGAAUGACUUUUUCUCGGCUGCGAAGAGCCCAAGACCUUAAAUUUGCAGUUUAUAAAAGCAACUGAAGAGCUUAUUUCAAUGUUUAUUUGUGCAUUAAUAGAUAAAUAUAUUAGAGUAGGGCAAUAUUGUGUAAUCUUCAAUCCCAUCAUACCACAGAAAAAAAAGAUCAAGUAAAAGUUGAGAGUGGUCAGUUUUUGAACAAAACAGGCACUUAAACAGGUUUUGACUGUUUGUUUUGAAGGGCCACGCCAGAAGUUUAAAAAACAAAUAUCAAAGAAAUUUUAUUUAUUUGACUACUUAAAGAACCUGGACAUGAUCCACAUUACUCCCGUUUAAUGUUAAUUUCAACCUAUGUCACAAGUCACAACUGCUUCGAAGAAAAUAAUACGAAAGUACUAUUUCGAGGAAAGUAUAGUUUUCCAAUUCAACAUCAUGGAAAAGUUUUUGAAAUGAAUUUAAAUGUUGAAUACUUUUCCAAUUCAACAUAUUGUGUCUCAUAUAUAUAUCAGCUAGCUAACCCUCUCCAUCUCUACAAUCACCCAUCUCGCAGACUAGCUCGCUCUCUACACAUACCAAGACAUACAUUUGAUUCCCUAAAAAUCUCAGGUUUCUUUCGUGUCGAAAAUGGGGUCUCAAGGAAAGGCUCGAUACUUGACAAUAAUAGUACUCCUAAUUGUUACCAUUAUUUUGUUAUCAUGUUCUAACCUUACUGUGAUAGCAAGAAUGGAUCCAACUCCAUGCACAUAUGACCGCAAGCAUCCUAGUGAGUGCCACAUCGGUGAACCAGCUGCAGCUACUUAAUUUAUCCAUGGAUAUUAUUUAUGUGUCCUCCUUCGCUGGUUUAGGUUACUUCCUAGCUAUUGUCAUGUUUUCUUUUCCCAAGCUUUUUGGCGUUUGCACCCAUUAAUUCUUCACCUUGCUUUGAUUUGCCAACGUUAUGAUAUUAAUAGAGUAUUGUGUAUUUACAAGUUUUUUUUAGAAGUCGACAUACUUGUUGGUUAUUAAUAUCUUUGAUUUGCCAAUGAUAUCAUAGCCAGCAAAAUGAGCAAACCUGAUACCAAAUAUAGCAACUGAUCAUAACCUUACCAGUUUGAGUAAAAUCCAAAGAUAUUACGUACUGGUGCAAAAGUUGUGAUAACAUCAAACAGCAAAACAACAGCUGAGGAAUUGAAGGCAGGAAAGCAGCAACCCAGAAUAACAACAGCGGUCUUGGGUGUGAUUCUGGAAGGUCGUAUACGAAUAAGGAAGAAGAAAUCAACAACGAUAAUUGCAAUAUGUUCAAAAUAAACAUGCCUGCAACCUGUAAUAUUUGCACAUUCACUUUUGAUAUUUUCCGUUUGCACAUUGUUUGAUGCAUCUGUUCCACUAUCUUCUUCAAACUAGACAAGAAAAAAACUACAAGCAUAUUUCCAAGGAUUGACUAACAAGCAUAUAUAAGUAAAUGGACAUUUGAUUUUCUUCUCCAGAAAUGAUUAUAGAGAAAAUAGUUGUUCACUCCACAAAUAGCAGGUGAUUAUCUACAGCAUUUUUUAGUCGAACUUCAUAUGUAAACUUCAUAACCUUAGUCUGGGAAGCAAUUCAGCUCUAACUCACAGUUUCUAUUGAAGUUCAUCUGAACUUCAAAUUUAUGACCCUAAGAACGCAUCGACCUUAGCAUUUGUUCUCCUUGACAAAAACUUCAUGCAAAUGGGAGGUUUUACUCCUGCUAGAGCAAGUAUCGAACUAGGCAAAGUCCAUAUCCCGUCCCCACAAAUCAAACCAGAAGCCACUGCUGGCCCAAAAGCAUCUGCCUUUGCCUUGUCAAUCUUUUCCCAGAUAAAUAGAAUCAAGCUUCCCACACACAUGUCGAUGGCAAAGUAUGAGCCAAUAUAGAAAGGUAUAGCCAUUGCCAUUGGAUUGGGAAUGAACCUAGCCCGUUUCUUACCCAACACAUCCUUGAUCAAAUUUAUCAGAAUAGCUGCACCGAAGAACCAAUAACAAAGAUAGAGACAAUUCUUUGGUAGAGACGAGAAUCCUUCUACCCCCAAUAUAGCCAUGUUUCGAAAUACAGUAGCAUAAGGAGCAGGGUAUUGACUUCCAGGAGUCCCCAGAUCCUUGAAGGCCUUAAAAAAAAGCCAAAAUACACACGGGGAAAUCAUGCAACCCAUUGCAGUGCCAAUUAGUUGGCUCACAAACAUCGAACGUGGUGAAGAAAGGGUCAAAUAACCAGUCUUGAAAUCUUGAGAUAGGUCAGAGGCUGUGGAGACAAUAUUCAUCAUGACUCCACAGGCCGCUAGUCCUGCAAGAACUCCACCAUGAGAGCCACCAGCCCAUGCCCCAAUUACAAAAAUUGCAAGCGUCCCAUAGGUGGAAGCAAGGGACCAAUCAGUGAGUCCACAACCAUAAGCAUUACAGAAUGCAAGGGCUGGGGCAAAGAUGUAGAUAACCAAUAUGUAAUACCAUUUCAGUUCAGGAAAUAUAUGCGGAACGGUGGUUGUAGAAAUGGCAGCAAUUGUGACAUAACCUGCAACAGCAAACCAUGUUGGAAUUUGAUCUUUGAGAAAGAGGUGGGUGCGACGUUGCUCAUCAUAGGAGAUCCUGGAUGUCUCGGGAGAGGAACGGUCAGCAACAGGCAGAGCACCAGUUGCAUCUCUCCCACGAAGUUGAAAAAACAAUGCAGCGAGUGUUCGGCUUAGAACCUUGAAGAAGUUGUACAGACCGUCACCCAAGACCAAGGCAGUGGCAAUAAAUACCUGUGUUCAAUGCAUAAGCGUUGGUAUGAAAGAAAAGGCUUCAAGAAAAUGUUAAAAAUCAUGUAAUGGGCAUUCUUGUCACCUUAACCUUGUUAGAAAACUUACCUUGUAACCUUGGAGGCCAUGUAAGCUGCCUGGUUUGAGGUCUGCUGGAUACCAGUCACCCUUUUUUGUAUCUAUGAGAGGCCACAUGAGACCCCAGGAAAGAAUUCCUCCAAGCAAUACUGAUAUGUUUAUGAUAUAUGGGCAAAUCAUUCCAACUCCAACAUAUGUUGCUGAGAAAUCAAAGAAAAAUCUGCACAUGUAACAAGAACAUUAUUAGUCAAAGAUACCACAACGAAUUUGAAACAGAAUGCCAUAAUAAAUGGAACUACAUUCAACAAGAAGAGAGGAUUUUGGAAGAUUGAGUAAUGCUUUUACUUGUUUUCAUGUGCUUUAAGACCAAGUGAGGGGAACUCAGCGAAUCCACAACCAUCUCCUGCAGUGUAGAACCAUUGAAAGAAACCCCACAAGAAGCUGAAUGAGAAGAACUUGCCCAACACUCUCACUUGUUUCCUGUAACAGUAGAAUAACAAAGUUCGAUACUCUUUCAUGUCAAAUGAUCAUCCAUAUAAGUGCAUGAGGUCUCAUAAUGCCUUACUUUGCUAGCUUGGCUCCUGCAGGAGUGUGGAAGCUGUUGAUGAGAUGGGCAGUUGCAGUGCCACUUGGAUAUGUCAAUUUGAAGUCUAUAAUCAUGACCUGGAAAUAACCAGGGUAACAAUGAGGAUUAGUUUUUGGCAAAAUCAAUACACUAGGCAAAAAUGUAAAAUGCAGAGAAAAGUUUUAUAUUUCCUAUAAUCAUAUAAAGAAAUUGAAUGCUGAUAUAGGUUGUAAAGUCUACCUUUCGAAGAGGCACCGCCGAAAAGAGUCCAAGAAAGCUAACAACAAACAAAAAGCCAAUCAUCCAAGACAGAGAUGGAUUUUUAAAGGCAUCACUAUCUUCAGUUAAUUGUUUGGCCACGGUUUCACUCAUUCCAAACAGAUAACUCCCAAAGCCUCCUAUUAUAAGGAAACAAGGAAAAAAUUAUAGAAUGGAAACCAUUGGUACAAAAAUCAACAAGUUUAAUAUCAUCAUAAGCAUAAUCACAAAUUAGCCGUUUCAUUACAAUAAUUAAUUCAGUUUCGAAACAAGUUUGGCAAGUAAUCAGGCUUUUCUUGACUAUUUGGAUAAGUUAGAAACAUAAUGUAUUCAUCUUGACAUUAUGUUAAUGAUUCACAGUUAAAGAAAAGGUUUGAUUAAUAACUCAAGCUCACAACUAGCAUUCUAGAAACAGAUAUUAUUCACAUUUUCCUUUCUUUUACUAAUGGAGAAGACUUCUUUUUCCACAAAUCAGAAUAUUGUUAUAAGACUUCCUGACAUAAAUCUGAACUUAGUAAGUCAUCCAUAUCCAGCGCAUAUGAAUUGAACUGUCAAAAAAGUAUCUGUCAAGUGACAUACCAGCUGCACCCCUAACAUUAUCACACUCCAGGAGACAGAGAUAGAUUUGUUCAUGUCUCUAAUGGUAAGUUCAAGUGUUGAUUAGUUUAGCAAAACUUCACAAGUGGUAGUCAUAAAGCCUCAAUUUUGAUUUGUCUCUCAAAGACUUUAGGCAGUAAGAGAUUCUUUGUCUUCAAGGAUCAUGCAAAUCUACUCCCAUCUGAGAUAAAAGGGAUCCAGAGAGAGAAAAAUGGUUGCCUUAUCAUGUAAUCUAGCAAUUAGAAGAUGGAAAUCUUGACAUUGAAUUUUAGUAACUACUGUAAGUUUGCAACCUUUAAGAACAGAAACAAAACCAAAUGCACAGAAAUAUUAAUAUCUUGAUCAAAGAAACCUAGAUAUCUCCUCAACUUCGAAAGAAAAGAGAAAGAAAAUUGAAUUUCAAAAUAAUUAAGAAAGAUGAAAUGAAAAUUAAUGGCAGUAAACAGUAUAGAAAGUAUACCACUAAAGGCAAUGCCAGAGGAGGCAACCACGCAAGUCUGUAUUACAGUGUUCUCUUGCCUCGUAAAGGGUUGCUUCAAAAGUCCAGACUUUUCAAGAAACUUUGUCCAGGUCUUGAUAAAAAAGAAGCCCAGAAGGCCAGCAGAGACAUUGAGGGAAGGUAUGAUACCAGUUGUAAGAUUGAGCUUCAUUACUAUGACGCAGAACAAAAUGCUCAACACGAAGCUCACCACAAGGGCCCUCAGUGUCAGCUGAUUCCUCCAUGAUGGCACUUCUUGGUUCUCAAAUAUUCUUUCCACUGACAACUCUUCUUCUUGUUCCUCUUUCUUGUCCUUCUUUCUGUGACCAUGAUCAUCCUCCAAAUCAUGAUCAUUCUCUACCUUGGUGUCGUCUCUUUCAUUACGUUCCAUUUUAUUUUCUUAAAAGAAUGAUUCUUUAUGGAGACGAAGAGAGUUGGGAGCGUGUUUAAUAAGUGGUUGUGAUUAUUGCUCAACACAUCACAAGCAAAUUGAAUACGAUGAAUAUGAGGAGUUGUUAAAAGUUAAAACGGGUUGUUGUAGUGAGUUUAACCUGUCUGUUUUUUUGGGUUAUUUUUUUUAAUUUUAUUUAAUAUUUUUGAAUUAUUUUAAUAUAUUAAUAUUAAAAAUAAAUUUUAAAAUAUAAAAAAUAUAUUAUUUUGAUAGUUUUUAGCAAAAAUUAUUUUAAAAAACAUCUAUUAUUAUAUUUUUAAACACUCUUUAAAAUAACAAAAUGACUCUAAAUGACAUGUGUUUGAGUUAAGUUUGUAAUUUUUAUAUAUGUGAUCUGUAGGUACUUUUAAAGAAGUAGAUUAGAAAUAUAGUAGAAAUUAUUUUUAAAAUAAUCUCAAAAUAUUAUUUUAAUAUUUUUUUAAAUUAAAAAUAGAAAUUAUUUUCAAAACAAUUUGAAAAUAAAAAUAUUAAUUUUAAAAAGGAAUGUUUUAAACAAGUUACCAAAUGGCCACUGAAUCCAAUGCCAAAAGCUUCUAUUUCUAAUUUGUGGAAGACGAGAAGUCAAUAGUCAAUUUCCAAAAAAUUAAAAAAAAAAUAAAGGGAAAAUAAAAGAUCUGUGAAUGUCCAUUGUCCAAAGUUUGUGGGAAAAAAAAUGAUAUAAGAAAUAAAGAAAAUGAUAUUAAAUUACUUAAAGAAGCUAGACUAGAAUAUAGUAGAAUUUAUUUUUAAAUCAAUUUAAAAACACUAUUUUAAUAGUUUUUAAAUUAAAAAUAAUUUAAAAAAUAAUUAUUACUAAACUCCCAAAAACCUUUAAAACAAUAAUCAUGCAUAUGAUAUUUUUCAGCUUCUUUUCAUAUUCUUAGGACAAGCCUUCAACAUAUUUGUUACAAGUCUCAUAUUCGCUGAAGCUUUUAUCGUCUUCCUCGACGCAUCUGAUAUUUUUUCCAUCUUUUUUUUUCUCGUGUUGGAUAACUAAGUCUGGCAUGGUUUUAUUGUGAGACUGAUAAUAACACAGAUGCACAUUGGACCACCUGAUAUGAUCAUAGCUAGCAAAAUGAGCAAACCUGAUACCAAAUAUAGCAACUGAUCAUAACAGCUCACAAAGGGUACUGUAAUUUUCACUUUUCACAUUGCUUGAUGCAUCUGUUCUACUAUCUUCUUCAAACUAGACAAGAAAAAAAACUACAAGCAUAUAUAUAUAUAUAUAUAUAAGUAAAUGGACAUUUGAUUUUCUUCUCCAGAAAUGAUUACAGAGAAAAUAGUUGUUGCCUUGUUGGCUCCACGGAAUAGCAGGUGAUUAUCCACAGCAUUUUUGAGUCGAACUUCACAUGUAAACUUCAUAACCUUAGUGUAGGAAGCAAUUCAGCUUUACUUCACAGUUUCUAUUCAAGUUGAUCUGAACUUCAACUUUAUGACCCUAAGAACGCAUCGACCUUAGCAUUUGUUCUCCUUGACAAAAACUUCAUGCAAAUGGGAGGUUUUACUCCUACUAGAGCAAGUAUCGCACUAGGCAAAGUCCAUAUCCCAUCCCCGCAAAUCAAACCAGAAGCCACUGCUGGCCCAAAAGCAUCUGCCUUUGCCUUGUCAAUCUUUUCCCAGAUAAAUAGAAUCAAGCUUCCCACACACAUGUCGAUGGCAAAGUAUGAGCCAAUAUAGAACGGUAUAGCCAUCGCCAUUGGAUUGGGAAUGAACCUGGCCCAUUUCUUACCCAAAGCAUCCUUAAUUAAAUUUAUCAGAAUAGCUGCACCGAAGAACCCAUAACAAAGAUAGAGGCAAUUCUUUGGUAGAGACGAGAAUCCGUCUACCCCCAAUAUAGCCAUGUUUCGAUAUACAGUAGCAUAAGGAGCAGGGUACUGACUUCCAGGAGUCCCCAGAUCCUUGAAGGCCUUGAAAAACAGCCAAAAGACACAAGGUGAAAUAAUGCAACCCAUUGCAGUGCCAAUUAGUUGGCUCACAAACAUGGACCGAGGUGAAGAAAGGGUCAAAUAACCAGUCUUGAAAUCUUGAGAUAGGUCAGAGGCUGUGGAGACAAUAUUCAUCAUGACUCCACAGGCCGCUAGUCCUGCAAGAACUCCACCAUGAGAGGCACCAGCCCAUGCCCCAAUUACAAAAAUUGCGAGCUUCCCAUAG
This 53029-nucleotide long non-coding RNA is filed under the name Populus trichocarpa (black cottonwood). RNAcentral describes it as "long non-coding RNA (PTRI_LNC003929)". Lineage: Eukaryota; Viridiplantae; Streptophyta; Magnoliopsida; Malpighiales; Salicaceae. The record is from RNAcentral.